Molecule: long non-coding RNA, 44702 nt
Filed under: Triticum aestivum (bread wheat)
Lineage: Eukaryota; Viridiplantae; Streptophyta; Magnoliopsida; Poales; Poaceae
Description: long non-coding RNA (TAES_LNC007265)
Rfam family: MIR1120/MIR1122 microRNA precursor family (bases 16158-16244)
Source: RNAcentral
UGACGUGCUGCAGCUAGAGUGCUAGGUUACAGUUGUUGUUGGCAAUAAGAAUGCAUUUGUGCCUUAUCAUGUGUGGAAACUGUGGCUUGACAUGGUAUUUGGUUGUACAUUUGUAGUGGUGGUGGUAGUGAGUCAGCUGAUUGCAGUUUGUAGCCAAAUCAUUUAUUGUUAUGAAUGCAUGUGGUGCAAACGGGUUGUAUGAAGAAUGAGAACAAGGAGGAACUAGGUAGCAUAUAUCCAUUAAGAGGAAAUUCAGGCAAAACAAAGAAAUUUUCGGAAAGGCUCCAAUCUCAGUGUCACUAGAACAAGCCUCCUUGAUGUAUCUUUUUUGGUAAACUGAAUGUACGAAGAGACUUCACGCGGGUGGUUAUAAAGCCGAGCCGACGGAAUAUACGGGGCAACUCUUGAUGCAAAGCAAAUACACAAAAUAAGAUUGUGUUUGGUUAUAAAGUAUAGAUUUUCCAGCUUUCUCCGUCCCUUAAUAUUUCUCCGUCCCUUAAUAUAAGACGGCUUUUUGCAGUGACGGUGGUAGUGUUCCUUAAACUGAUAAAAUAGGUAUGUGUCCAAUUAAUAUUUGGUUACCAAAUAUAAGAGAUUUACCAGGUUACCAAAUAUAUUAGAUAUUGAUUGAUACUUAUCAAGUACAUAUGUAAAAUAUUGAUUGAUACUACUCCCUCCAUCACAGUUUAGAAGGCACAGUUAAAUUUGCGUGCGUUUCCAUAAUAGACAAGGUUUAGGGCGCAUUGCAUUUAUUUCUAGUACUAAUUAGUACUCCGGAGUACUAUUUCUAUAUGCAUGCAUAGUGUGAAUGCUAUUUUUUAGCCCAUCUCACAACCAAUAGAUAACCACCUAGGUCCGAGAGAAUUUCCAAGCAAGCCUUCUAAACCGUGACGGAGGUAGUAGUAUUUAUUUGCUUCUGGAUUGUGAAUUUAUUACUACUAGCUGAAUGCCCGUGCGUUGCUACGGAGACACAAUUAUCUACUCCCUCUGUUCCUAAAUAUAAGUCUUUCUAGAGAUUUCAUUAUGGACUACAUACGAAGCAAAAUGAGUGAAUCUACACUCUAAAUUAUGUCUAUAUACAUCCGUAUGUAGUUUGUAAUGGAAUCUCUAAAAAGACUUAUAUUUAGGAACGGAGGGAGUAUCUGUUAACACCAAGGAUAUCAAGCCAAUACCAAAUCAUCACCUUAAUCUUGAAUACCAGACACCGUGUCAUGCAUACAUAUUUCUCAAGGAUAUCAAACCAAUAUGAAAUCAUCACCUUAGUUUUGAAUACCAGACACCAUGUCAUGCAUACAUAUUCCUACAUAUAAGCCUUUUUAGAAAUUCCAAUAUUGACUACAUACAUAGCAAAAUGAGUGAAUCUAUAUUCUAAAAUAUGUCUAUAUACAUCCAUAUGUAGUUCGUAUUGAAAUCUCUAAAAGGGCUUAUAUUUAGAAACAGAGGGAGUAUUUUCCAAGGAUAUCAAGCCAAUAUCAAUCACCCUAGUUUUGAAUACCACAUAGGGUGUUAUGCAUACAUAUUCCAGCUCAACUUGAAUGAUUACCCAUAUAAAACAGACACGAAAUCUCUUCUCAAGAAUAAGGAUGUGCCCUUAUAGAAGAUAAAUGGUUUUUUUAUAGAUAAACAAUAAUGGUUAUGUCAGCAUAAAGCAGAUCCAUACAUGGAGUUACAAGAGAGAAAAAUGAUACAUGUAGUAGCUACUUGUGAGCGAAGAGAAAUUUGACUAUAUAUUUUUUUGUUCAGCCUUGUAUAUUGGUAUUGUACUCCUUGACUAUAUAGGUUUGCCCUUGCUCCUUGGGAUUCCAGCCAUACCUUAUCCUUUUGUGAACUAAAAAAUAAAAAUUAUCAGAGAUCAUCCAUACGACUCUACCAAUUAUUACGAAAACCAGGCACUACAUACAUAGAACUAAAUUAUUCUCAAACAAUGCCGAGCCAUUAAUUGCAUGAGAGAUUUUAUAUCCCUCCAAAUAGUCCGUCCAACCUGCAAUUUCCAUUGACCAUAGAGAAAAUAGAUGCAAAGAGCCAGCCUUUUUUCCUCCUCCAUCCAGCACUGAGAUGACAAAGUAAACACUAUAAACUACAGGAAGGAUCAGCCACUUUGAUCCGAAAUUCUGACUAUCCAUGUUAAAGAAAUGUAUUUAUGAGCUUAUUUGACAAGAGUAAAUCUUCCGGAAUUAGAUGUAGAAAAUAUGAACACCUUCCUGUCUAUGAGGAGGAACCUAAACAAGCCUGCAGUUGUGUUCUUUUUAGGGCAUCAUCAUAUAUAUAACAGAACCUAAAUCAAGUCAGAUGUGUUCUUUUUAGGGCAUCUACCUGCUAAAUCAAGUUGUAGGAUAUAUAUAAGAGGAAGGGCCAGAAUGAUUUUGAAUGCCUAGCUACAACUCACGUCUAUAGAAAGACAUUCCAAAGUGAAGCGUGGAUCCAGCUCGUAAAAUAUAUACUCCCUCCGUUCCGAAUUACUUGUCUUGAAUUUGUCUAGAUACAGAUGUAUCUAGACUCAUUUUAGUGCUAGAUACUUCUGUAUCUAGACAAAUCCAAGACAAGUAAUUUAGAACGGAGGGAGUAUAUUACAAAGAAGAAUGGGUGGAAGACGAAAUUGAGUAUUAUACUACUUUCAUUAGUACUUUAUACCAUAACGCGGCAAAACAAAAAAUUACUGCAGAUUUCAGUGGCAUAAAAAAUCUUCUAUUUUACUACUUUCCUCGGAAUUUUGNNNNNNNNNNNNNNNNNNNNNNNNNNNNNNNNNNNNNNNNNNNNNNNNNNNNNNNNNNNNNNNNNNNNNNNNNNNNNNNNNNNNNNNNNNNNNNNNNNNNNNNNNNNNNNNNNNNNNNNNNNNNNNNNNNNNNNNNNNNNNNNNNNNNNNNNNNNNNNNNNNNNNNNNNNNNNNNNNNNNNNNNNNNNNNNNNNNNNNNNNNNNNNNNNNNNNNNNNNNNNNNNNNNNNNNNNNNNNNNNNNNNNNNNNNNNNNNNNNNNNNNNNNNNNNNNNNNNNNNNNNNNNNNNNNNNNNNNNNNNNNNNNNNNNNNNNNNNNNNNNNNNNNNNNNNNNNNNNNNNNNNNNNNNNNNNNNNNNNNNNNNNNNNNNNNNNNNNNNNNNNNNNNNNNNNNNNNNNNNNNNNNNNNNNNNNNNNNNNNNNNNNNNNCCAUCACCUGGGUCUCCAAAUAAAAAACUACUCCAUCCGUCCCAAAUUAAGUGUCUCAACUUUAUACUAAUUUUAAUAGUAAGUUGUACUAAAGUGUCUCAACUUUGUACUAAUUUUAGUAGUAAGUUGUACUAAAGUUGAGACAUUUAUUUUGGGACGGGGAGAGUACCGUUUACUGCCGGUCUACAACCAUACCACUUGUUAGAGUUAAAAACAUGAACAAAUAAUGCAAUUCUUAUUCAAGCAAAACAGAUAAUAAAAUUUAGCACGAUAUGUAUAUCUCCAUUCAUGAUGAAAGAAAUCAAAGAGAGGCAAUAUUGACCUUCCAUUUGAUGUAUUCGAUGGAGUGAAGCAUGUCGAUGUCGCAAUGGCGUCUACUUAGGCAUAUAUCUACACUUUCAGAUUUUGGCAGAGAAGUUUUUAACCUCACUGAGUCGUUAGCAUUGAGUAGGGCAGCCAGAACGCAAUAUGUAGAAAACUGCAUUGAGUUAGUCAUGAGAAAGAACUAUAGGUUUAAGUGUUUUUCAUCACAUUCUCCUGAAAGGUAGCUAAAAGUUUCAAGUAUAUAGAACCAUUGACUCAUGUUUUAGAUGUCUAUAACGUUAAGCAUGCAACCAAAAGUAUAUAGCAACCUUUUGGAACUGUACUAUAACAUUCACGAAUCAAGAUUCAGUGGCUGAAGAGUGGGGCAGAAAAAUGUUUAAUACCUAGUUCUUGACAGCCUUGUGCAUGACAGUAUUCUGGGGGAACGCGACAGACUUGUCCUUCUUCCAUGUCUUGGUUGUCAAGACUCAAGAGACGAAAGAAGGACAAGCGUAGAGCGUGGGUUCGAUUGGACCAUGGCUCCACUCAAUGCCAUCUCCUUAUCAGUAGUUAGCUAUGUGCCGUCAGUCUUCUUGUUUACCAGGACUGAAAAACACACCAACCACCAAACAGAUCUGCCAAUUCAUCUGACCAAGAGAUAGCAACAACUACUAACCAGAGUGCUUGUCAGAGUGGUCAAUGUAAAACUUGUUAGGCUUCAUGACUGAACAAAACCUUGGCAUUACUCUAGCUGAACUGCUAGAUUAGGAAACAAAUGUUCCUCUUGACAAGCUCCCAGGCGAGAUUGUCCGGAACCGUCACCAUUUAUCUGUUCCUAAAAAAUCAUAUCAACCAAUGAAUAUGAAACCCAUCAGAAAAAAGUGUAAGGAUUCUCAAGUUUCUAUCUCACAUAGCCGAUAGCUUCUGCAUAGUGGUAACGACUGGUGUUCCUGCUCGUGGCUGCACUGAAGUGCGUGAUGAAGGCAGACGGUCUGCCGACGCUCUUUGUUAUGAGAUAGCCGCAAGAGGCUGCAGACCGUCAUGGGCGGCAUCAGGGUGAGAUGCAUCAACGGCUGGAAGCAGGCAAGGAAGUGGACGGGCCAUACCUCUUUGGAAGGAAGCACCACAGUCCUAGCAGCAGCAGCGUGACCCCACCACGGCACCACGCGCCAGAACCAUGGCCUUCUCUUUCCCUGUGGGCAUUAUGUUGGGGAACGUAGCAGAAAUUCAAAAAUUUCCUACGUGUCACCAAGAUCUAUCUAUGGAGAAACCAGCAACGAGGGGAAGGAGAGUGCAUCUACAUACCCUUGUAGAUCGUUAAGCGGAAGCGUUCAAGAGAACGGGGUUGAAGGAGUCGUACUCGUCGUGAUCCAAAUCACCGGAGAUCCUAGUGCCGAACGGACGGCACCUCCGCGUUCAACACACGUACAGCCCGGUGACGUCUCCCAUGCCUUGAUCCAGCAAGGAGAGAGGGAGAGGUUGAGGAAGACUCCAUCCAGCAGCAGCACAACGGCGUGGUGGUGGUGGAGGAGCGUGGCAAUCCUACAGGGCUUCGCCAAGCACCUACGGGAGAGGAGGAGGUGUCACAGGAGGGAGGGAGGCGCCAGGGCUUCAGGUAUGGAUGCCCUUCCUCCCCUCCACUAUAUAUAGGGGCAAGGGAGAGGGGGGAGGCGCAGCCUUGCCCCUUCCUCCAAGGAAGGGGUGCGGCCAAGAGGGGGGGAGGAGUCCAUCCUCCCCAAGGCACCUCGGAGGUGCCUUCCCCCUUGAGGACUCUUCCCUCCCCAAGUUUCCUUGGCGCAUGGGCCUCUUGGGGCUGGUGCCCUUGGCCCAUAUAGGCCAAGGCGCACCCCCUACAGCCCAUGUGGCCCCCCGGGGCAGGUGGACCCCCCCCCGGUGGACCCCCGGACCCCUUUCGGCACUCCCGGUACAAUACCGAUAAAGUGCGAAACUUUUCCGACGACCAAAAUAAGACUUUCCAUAUAUAAAUCUUUACCUCCGGACCAUUCCGGAACUCCUCGUGACGUCCGGGAUCUCAUCCGGGACUCCCAACAACAUUCGGUAACCACAUACAAACUUCCUUUAUAACCCUAGCGUCAUCGAACCUUAAGUGUGUAGACCCUACUGGUUCGGGAACCAUGCAGACAUGACCGAGACGUUCUCCGGUCAAUAACCAACAGCGGGAUCUGGAUACCCAUGUUGGCUCCCACAUGUUCCACGAUGAUCUCAUCGGAUGAACCAUGAUGUCAAGGACUCAAUCGAUCCCGUAUACAAUUCCCUUUGUCUAGCAGUAUUUUACUUGCCCGAGAUUCGAUCGUCGGUAUACCGAUACCUUGUUCAAUCUCGUUACCGGCAAGACUCUUUACUCGUUCCGUAACACAUCAUCCCGUGAUCAACCCCUUGGUCACAUUGUGCACAUUAUGAUGAUGUCCUACCGAGUGGGCCCAGAGAUACCUCUCCAUUUACACGGAGUGACAAAUCCCAGUCUCGAUUCGUGCCAACCCAACAGACACUUUCGGAGAUACCUGUAAUGCACCUUUAUAGCCACCCAGUUACGUUGUGACGUUUGGUACACCCAAAGCAUUCCUACGGUAUCCGGGAGUUGCACAAUCUCAUGGUCUAAGGAAAAGAUACUUGACAUUAGAAAAGCUUUAGCAUGCGAACUACACGAUCUUUGUGCUAGGCUUAGGAUUGGGUCUUGUUCAUCACAUCAUUCUCCUAAUGAUGUGAUCCCGUUAUCAACGACAUCCAAUGUCCAUAGCCAGGAAACAUGACUAUCUGUUGAUCACAACGAGCUAGUCAACUAGAGGCUCACUAGGGACAUAUUGUGGUCUAUGUAUUCACACGUGUAUUACGAUUUCUGGAUAAUACAGUUAUAGCAUGAAUAAAAGACUAUUAUCAUGAACAAAGAAAUAUAAUAAUAACACUUUUAUUAUUGCCUCUAGGGCAUAUUUCCAACAGUCUCCCACUUGCACUAGAGUCAAUAAUCUAGUUCACAUCACCAUGUGAUUAACACUGACAGGUCACAUCACCAUGUGACCAAUAUCCAAAGAGUUUACUAGUGUCACCAAACUAGUUCACAUCAUCAUGUGAUUAAGACUCAAUGAGUUCUGGGGUUUGAUCAUGUUCUGCUCGUGAGAGAGGUUUUAGUCAACGGGUCUGCAACAUCCAGAUCCGUAUGUACUUCGCAAAUCUCUAGGUCAUAUUGUAAAUGCUGCUUCCACGCUCCACUUGGAGCUAUUCCAAAUGGUUGUUCCACUAUACGUAUCCGGUUUGCUACUCAGAGUCACUCGGAUAGGUGUUAAAGCUUGCAUCGACGUAACCCUUUAUGUCGAACUCUUUAUCACCUCCAUAAUCGAGAAACAUAUCCUUAUUCCUCUAAGGAUAACUUUGACCGCCAUCUAGUGAUCCACUCCUUGAUCACCUUUGUACCCUCUUGCCAGACAAGCGGCAAGGCACACAUCAGGUGCGGUACUUAGCAUGGCAUACUGUAGAGCCUACGUCUAAAGCAUAGGGGACGACCUUCGUCCUUUCUCUCUUUUUUGCCGUGGUCGAGCUUUAACUCUUAACUUCAUACCUUACAUCUCAGGCAAGAACUCCCUUUUUGACUGAUCCAUCUUGAACACCUUCAAGAUCAUGUCAAGGUAAGUGCUCAUUUGAAAGUACCAUUAAGCGUUUUUUGAUCUAUCCUCAUAGAUCUUGAUGCUCAAUGUUCAAGUAGCUUAAUCCAGGUUUUCUAUUGAAAAACACCUUUCAAAUAACCCUAUAUGCUUUCUAGAAAUUCUACAUCAUUUCUGAUCAUCAAUAUGUCAACAAUAUAUACUCAUCAGAAAUUCUAUAGUGCUCCCACUCACUUCUUUGGAAAUACAAGUUUCUCAUAAACUUUGUAUAAAUCCAAAAUCUUUGAUCAUCUCAUCAAAGCGUACAUUCCAACUCCGAGAUGCUUACUCCAGUCCAUAGAAGGAUCGCUGGAGCUAGCAUACCUUUUAGCAUCCUCAGGAUCGACCAAACCUUUCUGAUUGUAUCACAUACAACCUUUCCUUACGAAAACUGGUAAGGAAACUUGUCUUGACAUCCAUCUGCCAGAUUUCAUAAAUGCAGCUUGUGCUAAUAUGAUUCCGACGGACUUUAAGCAUCGCUACGGAUGACAAAAUCUCAUCGUAGUCAACUCCUUGAACUUGUGAAAAACUCUUCGCCACAAGUCGAGCUUCAUAGAUGGUGACAUUACCAUCCACGUCUGUCUUCUUCUUAAAGAUCCAUUUAUCUCAAUGGCUUGCCGAUCAUCGGGCAAGUCCACUAAAGUCCAUGCUUUGUUCUGAUACAUGGAUCCUAUCUCGGAUUUCAUGGCUUCUAACCAUUUGUUGGAAUUUGGGCCCACCGUCGCUUCUCCAUAGCUCGUAGGUUCAUUGUUGUCUAGCAACAUGACCUUCAAGACAGGAUUACUGUACCACUCUGAAGUAGUACGUAUCCUUGUCACCCUACGAGGUACGGUAGUGACUUGAUCCGAAACUUCAUGAUCACUAUCAUAAGCUUAUACUUCAAUUGGUGUAGGUGCCACAGGAACAACUUCCUGUGCCCUGCUACACACUGGUUGAAGUGAUGGUUCAAUAACCUCAUCAAGUCUCCACCAUCCUCCCACUCAACUUUUCGAGACAAACUUUUCCUCGAGAAAGGACCCGGUUCAAGAAACAAUCCCUAUUGCUUUCAAAUCUGAAUUAGGAGGUAUACCCAACUGUUUUGGGUGUCCUAUGAAGAUGCAUUUUAUCCGUUUUGGGUUCGAGCUUAUCAAUCUGAAACUUUUCACAUAAGCGUCGCAGCCCCAAACCUUUAAGAAAUGACAACUUAGGUUUCUCCAAACCAUAAUUCAAACGUUGUCGUCUCAACGGAAUUAUGUGGUACCCUAUUAAAGUGAGUGCGGUUGUCUCUAAUGCCUAACCCAUGAAUAAUAGUGGUAAUUCGAUAAGUGACAUCAAGGUACGCACCAUAUCCAAUAGGGUGCAACUAUGAUGUUCGGACGCACCAUCACACUAUGGUGUUCCAGGCGGUAUUAAUUGUAAAACAAUUUCCACAAUGUCUUAAUUGCGUGCCAAAGCUCAUAACUCAGAUACUCAUCUCUAUGAUCAUAUCAUAGACAUUUUAUCCUCUUGUCACGACGAUCUUCAACUUCACUCUGAAAUUACUUGAACCAUUCAAUAAUUCAGACUUGUGUUUCAUCAAGUAAAUAUACUCAACAUCUACUCAAAUCAUCUAUGAAGUAAGAACAUAACGAUAUUCACUGCAUGCCUCAGCACUCAUUGGACUGCACACAUCAAAAUGUGUUACUUCCAACAAGUUGCUAUCUUGUUCCAUCUCACUGAAACAAGGCUUUUCAGUCAUCUUGCCUAUGUGGUAUGAUUUACAUAUCUCAAGUGAUUCAAAAUCAAGUGAGUCUAAACGACCCAUUUGCAUGGAGUUUCUUCAUGCGUAUACACCAAUAGACAUGGUUCGCAUGUCUCAAACUUUUAAAAACGAGUGAGUCCAAAGAUCCAUCAACAUGGAGCUUCUUCAUGCGUUUUACACCAUUAUGACUUACAUGGCAGUGCCACAAGUAAGUGGUACUAUCAUUACUAUCUUAUAUCCUUUUUGGCAUGAAAAUGUGUAUCACUACGAUCGAGAUUCAAUAAACCAUUCCUUUAGGUGCAAGACCAUUGAAGGUAUUAUUCAAAUAAAUAGAGUAACCAUUAUUCUCCUUAAAUGAAUAACCGUAUUGCGAUAGACAUAAUCCAAUCAUGUCUAUGCUCAACGCAAACACCAAAUCUCGAUGGUAGAGGGAGCGUGCGAUGCUUGAUCACAUCAACCUUGGAAACACUUCCAACACAUAUCGUCAGCUCACCUUUAGCUAGUCUCCGUUUAUUCCGUAGCUUUUAUUUCGAGUUACUAACACUUAGCAACCGAACCGGUAUCUCAAUACCCUGGUGCUACUAGGAGUACUAGUAAAGUACACAUUAACAUAAUGUAUAUCCAAUAUACUUCUAUCGACCUUGCCAGCCUUCUCAUCUACCAAGUAUCUAGGGUAAUUCUGCUCCAGUGGUUAUUCCCCUUAUUACAGAAGCACUUAGUUUCGGGUUUGGGUUCAACCUUGGGUUUCUUCACUAGAGCAGCAGCUGAUUUGCUGUUUCAUGAAGUAUCCCUUCUUGCCCUUGCCCUUCUUGAAACUAGUGGUUUCACCAACCAUCAACAAUUGAUGCUCCUUCUUGAUUUCUACUUUCGCGAUGCCAAACAACGCGAAUACCUCAAGGAUCAUCAUCUCUAUCCUUGAUAUGUUAUAGUUCAUCAUGAAGCUCUAGCAGCUUGGUGGCAAUGACUUUGGAGAAACAUCACUAUCUCAUCUGGAAGAUCAACUCCCACUCGAUUCAAGUGAUUGUUGCACUCAGACAAUCUGAGCACAAGCUCAACGAUUGAGCUUUUCUCCCUUAGUUUGUAGGCUAAGAAAAUCGUCGGAGGUCUCAUACCUCUUGACGUGGGCACAAGCCUGAAAUCCCAAUUUCAGCCCUCGAAACAUCUCAUAUGUUCCGCGACGUUUCGAAAACGUCUUUGGUGCCUCUACUUAAACCAUUUAACUGAACUAUCACGUAGUUAUCAAAACAUGUAUGUCCGAUGUUCGCAACAUCGAUAAACGACGUUUGGGGUUCAGCACACUGAGCGGUGCAUUAAGGACAUAAGCUGUCUACUGUCCGCAUAAUCGCUACUUUCAACUUUCAACUAUAUUUUCUCUAGGAACAUAUCUAAACAGUGGAACUAAAGUGCGAGCUUACGACAUAAUUUGCAAAGAUCUUUUGACUAUGUUCAGGAUAAUUAAGUUCAUCUUAUGAACUCCCACUCAGAUAGACAUCCCUCUGGUCAUCUAAGUGAUUACAUGAUCCGAGUCAACUAGGCCGUGUCCGAUCAUCACGUGAGACGGACUAGUCAUCAUCGGUGAACAUCUUCAUGUUGAUCGUAUCUACUAUACGACUCAUGCUCGACCUUUCGGUCUCCGUGUUCCGAGGCCAUGUCUGUACAUGUUAGGCUCGUCAAGUUAACCCUAAGUGUAUUGCAUGUGUAAAUCUGUCUUACACCCGUUGUAUGUGAACGUAAGGAUCUAUCACACCCGAUCAUCACGUGGUGCUUCGAAGCGACGAACUUUAGCAACGGUGCACAGUUAGGGGAGAACACUUCUUGAAAUUGGUGUAAGGGAUCAUCUUAUUUACUACCGUCGUUCUAAGUAAACAAGAUGCAUAAACAUAAUAAACAUCACAUGCAAUUAUAUAGUAGUGACAUGAUAUGGCCAAUAUCAUGUAGCUCCAUUGAUCUCCAUCUUCGGGGCUCCAUGAUCAUCAUCGUCACCGGCAUGACACCAUGAUCUCCAUCAUCAUGAUCUCCAUCAUCGUGUCUUCAUGAAGUUGUCUCGCCAACUAUUACUUCUACUACUAUGGCUACCGGUUAGCAAUAAAGUAAAGUAAUUACAUGGCGUUGUUUAAUGACACGCAGGUCAUACAGUAAAUUAAGACAACUCCUAUGGCUCCUGCCAGUUGUCAUACUCAUCGACAUGCAAGUCGUGAUUCCUAUUACAAGAACAUGAUCAAUCUCAUACAUCACAUAUAUUCAUCACAUUCUUCUUGGCCAUAUCACAUCACAUAGCAUACCCUGCAAAAACAAGUUAGACGUCCUCUAAUUAUUGUUUGCAUGUUUUACGUGGCUGCUAUGGGUUUCUAGUAAGAACGUUUCUUACCUAUGCAAAAACCACAACGUGAUAUGCCAAUUGCUAUUUACCCUUCAUAAGGACCCAUUUCAUCGAAUCCGUUCCGACUAAAGUGGGAGAGACUGGCACCCGCUAGCCACCUUAUGCACCAAGUGCAUGUCAGUCGGUGGAACCUGUCUCACAUAAGAGUACGUGUAAGGUCGGUCCGAGCCGCUUGAUCCCACAAUACCGUCGAAACAAGAUUGGACUAGUAACGGUAAGCAUAUUGAACAACAUCAACGCCCACAACUACUUUGUGUUCUACUCGUGUAAAGAAUCUACGCAAUAGACCUAGCUCAUGAUGCCACUGUUGGGGAACGUAGCAGAAAUUCAAAAAUUUCCUACGUGUCACCAAGAUCUAUCUAUGGAGAAACCAGCAACGAGGGGAAGGAGAGUGCAUCUACAUACCCUUGUAGAUCGCUAAGCGGAAGCGUUCAAGAGAACGAGGUUGAAGGAGUCGUACUCGUCGUGAUCCAAAUCACCGGAGAUCCUAGUGCCGAAUGGACGGCACCUCCGCGUUCAACACACGUACAGCCCGGUGACGUCUCCCAUGCCUUGAUCCAGCAAGGAGAGAGGGAGAGAUUGAGGAAGACUCCAUCCAGCAGCAGCACAACGGCGUGGUGGUGGUGGAGGAGCGUGGCAAUCCUGCAGGGCUUCGCCAAGCACCUACGGGAGAGGAGGAGGUGUCACGGGAGGGAGGGAGGCGCCAGGGCUUCAGGUAUGGAUGCCCUCCCUCCCCUCCACUAUAUAUAGGGGCAAGGGAGAGGGAGGAGGCGCAGCCUUGCCCCUUCCUCCAAGGAAGGGGUGCGGCCAAGAGGGGGGGAGGAGUCCAUCCUCCCCAAGGCACCUCGGAGGUGCCUUCCCCCUUGAGGACUCUUCCCUCCCCAAGUUUCCUUGGCGCAUGGGCCUCUUGGGGCUGGUGCCCUUGGCCCAUAUAGGCCAAGGCGCACCCCCUACAGCCCAUGUGCCCCCCCGGGGCAGGUGGACCCCCNNNNNNNNNNNNNNNNNNNNNNNNNNNNNNNNNNNNNNNNNNNNNNNNNNNNNNNNNNNNNNNNNNNNNNNNNNNNNNNNNNNNNNNNNNNNNNNNNNNNNNNNNNNNNNNNNNNNNNNNNNNNNNNNNNNNNNNNNNNNNNNNNNNNNNNNNNNNNNNNNNNNNNNNNNNNNNNNNNNNNNNNNNNNNNNNNNNNNNNNNNNNNNNNNNNNNNNNNNNNNNNNNNNNNNNNNNNNNNNNNNNNNNNNNNNNNNNNNNNNNNNNNNNNNNNNNNNNNNNNNNNNNNNNNNNNNNNNNNNNNNNNNNNNNGGCACUCCCGGUACAAUACCGAUAAAGUGCGAAACUUUUCCGGCGACCAAAAUAAGACUUUCCAUAUAUAAAUCUUUACCUCCGGACCAUUCCGGAACUCCUCGUGACGUCCGGGAUCUCUUCCGGGACUCCGAACAACAUUCGGUAACCACAUACAAACUUCCUUUAUAACCCUAGCGUCAUCGAACCUUAAGUGUGUAGACCCUACGGGUUCGGGAACCAUGCAGACAUGACCGAGACGUUCUCCGGUCAAUAACCAACAGCGGGAUCUGGAUACCCAUGUUGGCUCCCACAUGUUCCACGAUGAUCUCAUCGGAUGAACCACGAUGUCAAGGACUCAAUCGAUCCCGUAUACAAUUCCCUUUGUCUAGCGGUAUUUUACUUGCCCGAGAUUCGAUCACCGGUAUACCGAUACCUUGUUCAAUCUCGUUACCGGCAAGUCUCUUUACUCGUUCCGUAACACAUCAUCCCGUGAUCAACCCCUUGGUCACAUUGUGCACAUUAUGAUGAUGUCCUACCGAGUGGGCCCAGAGAUACCUCUCCGUUUACACGGAGUGACAAAUCCCAGUCUCGAUUCGUGCCAACCCAACAUACACUUUCGGAGAUACCUGUAAUGCACCUUUAUAGCCACCCAGUUACGUUGUGACGUUUGGUACACCCAAAGCAUUCCUACGGUAUUCGGGAGUUGCACAAUCUCAUGGUCUAAGGAAAAGAUACUUGACAUUAGAAAAGUUUUAGCAUACGAACUACACGAUCUUUGUGCUAGGCUUAGGAUUGGGUCUUGUCCAUCACAUCAUUCUCCUAAUGAUGUGAUCCCGUUAUCAACUACAUCCAAUGUCCAUAGCCAGGAAACAUGACUAUCUGUUGAUCACAACGAGCUAGUCAACUAGAGGCUCACUAGGGACAUAUUGUGGUCUAUGUAUUCACACGUGUAUUACGAUUUCCGGAUAAUACAGUUAUAGCAUAAAUAAAAGACUAUUAUCAUGAACAAAGAAAUAUAAUAAUAACACUUUUAUUAUUGCCUCUAGGGCAUAUUUCCAACACAUUAGGCCAGCACCGCCCGCUGCGCUCUUCUGCCGCUUGCUAGAUUUCCACCGGCGAUUACAUGUGUCCACCUGCUCCUCCCACGAUCCCACCGCCUCCCACCGUCCGUUGCCACAAACCGAUCUUUCGCCGACCGUUUCACUGCCACUCAGACGGCCCCUGCCAUGGGAGAGAAAACGUAGGGACCAGACAGUACAGGCUACGGGGAGAAGAUGGGUCGGAGGGAGGGUGAGAUAGCGUUACCUGGGCCUCAUUCAUCACGGCCAUGGGCGCGGCGCUCCUGCUCGUCUCCCUCCCCACGUCAAGUCCCUCCUCAAGUCGGUGAAGAACAGAUGAGAUUGGAAGGGCUUGGAUCCAUCGUUCCAGUCUAAUUUGGCUGCAGUGUGGAACCGCUCGAGGUCGCCAUAAGCGUGAGGAGGUCGGCAGCGGUGAUUCCUCUAUGGAGAGCAACGGGAUUGAGAUGGAGGGAUUUGGGGGAAGGGGAGUGGGAGGUGGUACGUGCGUACGUGCGCUGCACUGUUUUAUUUCCUUUUUCUUUUCUUCCUUCGUGCGACGGGUGGAGAGGAGCGAGGAGGUCCGCUUUUUUCGCGUGCUGGGAGAAGUUUACAUGCAAGAGGAGGCCUGGUUGAACCAUCACGACGACGGAAGAUUCCUCUUUAAUAGUAGAGAAGAUUUAUUGGGUUACCAAAGGUCGGCCGGCUCAGCUGAGUCAACCCACCCCCGCUAUCUCCGCUCCAUAUUUAUACAGCGGCAGCCACCAGUGCUCCUCCCCACCCCCUCGCUCGCUCGCUCGCUCAGUAGUGGUAGGCCGGCAGGAAGGCCCCGCCCGCUCACUAGUGGUAGGCCGGCAGGAAGGCUCACAGCUGCCUGCCAUCGACAACGCCCGGGAGCGCACGUCGUCCAUUGUUUCCAUGGCUCCGCCCCGCGCCGGCGCCGGCGCCGGCGCCGUGCUGCUCGUGGUGGUGGCGCUCCUCUUCGUCGACGCAGCAGCGGCCGGCGGCGGCGGCAUGAAGAUGGCGACACACGGCGAGGUGCGGUAUCGAUCCCCUGCCCGCGAGAUUACAAAUUUUACUAUUAUGCUGCAUGCUUUGCAGGAUGGUGUUGUAGUAUUUCAUUUUUGAGAGAGCUAGUUGAAACUGAUAGGAGGAGGCUUCACGUGGUGGGUAGCCGGCUAGGUAAGUCCAACCGGAGUCUAUCUGUAUCCCUGUUGCCUCCGUAUGGGCCUGAAACGGCUAGAUGUAUAUAUAGGGAAACAAAAUAGGAAAUCUAUUCUAUUCUUUUCAGCCGGCUGAUUACAGGCUCGUCUAAACCGCCCUCCCCGCACGACACGCGUCCCGCUGGGCCCUCCCACUGCCCAGCCUUAUCCCCUCAUCUGUAGCGUCACGAGAUCCACUGAUUUUUUCAUCAAACUCGAUCCCCUUAUGUUCUGCUCCGCACCUCUCUCUCCUACAGCUCUCUUCACCGUGGCCGUGGACAGAGUAAAUAGCAUAAAACUACUACUUUACAGGCUAGGGUUACAAAAAACUACCGGUUUUUAAUUUUUCUCAAAUAACUAUCAAGUCAGGGGUUGGCUGUUUCAAAAAACCCCAAAUUCUCUUUGUUAAAAAAUUAAACAAGUUUAUGAUAGGUCGGGCCCGCCACUAAACACACCGUUUGGUUGACCGUUUGUUUGACCGUUAACUGACUUGUGGGGGCCACAUGUCAGCGCAUCAUUAACAGAUUUUUUACAGAUUAGCCCCUACAAAUAUUUUUAAAAAGCAAUCGGGUCCCUGGAAUCAUUUUAAAAAAGCAAUCGGGUCCUUGGGCGCCGCCGCGCCUCCAAAGGCUCUGCCCGUGGUCGCCGUCGCACCAUGGGGCUUCGCCCUUGGUCGCCGCGCCUGUAGCCUGGGUGGCCGGGGUGGUCGACGGGCGCGCCGCCGUGGGGCGCCGGCUCAGGUCACCGCNNNNNNNNNNNNNNNNNNNNNNNNNNNNNNNNNNNNNNNNNNNNNNNNNNNNNNNNNNNNNNNNNNNNNNNNNNNNNNNNNNNNNNNNNNNNNNNNNNNNNNNNNNNNNNNNNNNNNNNNNNNNNNNNNNNNNNNNNNNNNNNNNNNNNNNNNNNNNNNNNNNNNNNNNNNNNNNNNNNNNNNNNNNNNNNNNNNNNNNNNNNNNNNNNNNNNNNNNNNNNNNNNNNNNNNNNNNNNNNNNNNNNNNNNNNNNNNNNNNNNNNNNNNNNNNNNNNNNNNNNNNNNNNNNNNNNNNNNNNNNNNNNNNNNNNNNNNNNNNNNNNNNNNNNNGACACAGAUGGCCUGCGUCGCCGCUGGAGUGUCGCGGACGAGGCCGGCCUCGUUGCAACCGUCGCCGCCAGGAGCUCCGACUUGGAGGGAGGUUCGCCGGCUUGGGAGGGGGAGGGGGUCGCCGGCUUGGGAGGGGGAGGGGGUCGCCAGCUCGGGAGGCAGAGAAAGAAGAAAGAGAAGUGGAAGAAGAAACUUACAUGUGGGCCCCACAUGUAAGUUAACGGUCAAACUAAGGUCAAACUAACGAUUUGUUUAGCUGUGGGCCCAACCUGUCAUAAUCGUGAUCAACUGAUAAAGACUCGAUGAUUUGGGUUUUUUGAAACAGCCGACCGCCCAUUUGGUAGUUACUCCCUCCGUAAACUAAUAUAAGAGCGUUUAGAAUACUAAAAUAGUGAUCUAAACGCUCUUAUAUUAGUUUACAGAGGGAGUAUCUGAGAAAAAUUAAAAACCGGUAGUUUUUUGAAACCCUAGCCUGCAAAGUAGUAGUUUUAUGCUAUUUACUCCCGUGGACACGAUCUAAGCUUCGCUGCCCUGCUGCCUCCCAAGCUCCACCACUAUGCUGCCCAAGCUCCAUGCGACCGGUGUUGCAUUGCAGCGCUCGUCGGUGACGCCGGCGCUAUGAUGCGGUGGUCGUCGAUAGCUGCGGCGGUGCAACAUGGUGGGCCGGUGGCUCCCAAGCUCCAACACGAUGUUGCCCAAGCUCCACACGACCGGUGUUGCGUUACAGCGUUCAUCGAUGAAGUCAGCGCUGCGACGCGGUGGUCCGCGGUUGCUGCCGGCGAUGCCGCCCUCGUCGGUCUUGCCAGCGCUGUGAUGCAGCACUCGCGCCGCUGCAAGGGGCGUCGGGUGUUGUGAUGCAACGCUCGUUGAUAACGUCGGUGUUGCUAUGCAGCAUUGCCGAAGCUGCGAUGGAGAGCACCACCACGCCGGUGUCGUGGCUACAAUGAAGCAUCACCGGAGUUGCGACGAGCUGCCCACGUUGGGUUGGAGCACCGUCACGCCGGUUUCGUGGUUGCAAUGGAGCAUGGCCGGAGCUACGGCCGGUGCUGCUAGUGCCGGUGUCACUGUUGUAAUGGAGCAUGGUCGGAGUUGCAACGGGCCGCCGGUGCUGCGAUGGAGCACCGCCGGCCGCGCCGGUGUUGGCGCUGCAGAACGUGGCAGCGGUGCUACGAUGAAGCUCGACGGUGGCAGCAAAAAGUGUUGCGGAGUGCUAUCUUUUUUUUUGAAAACUACUUGACGCACUUUAUUAAACUCAUAUCAAAGUUACAUCAUCCACAAUGUCCAAAAGUAAAAAGCUGGGAGAAUCACCAUCCCAAACAAAAGUAGAAUUUAAAUUGAAACUAUGUCUAGCAAGAUUGUGUGUCAAUCUAUUAGCCUCCCUAGAACAAUGAGUGAAGGAUACCGCACCAAUACGGUAAUGCUUUUUGAAAACAAUCAGCCAAAAUAGCAGUAUAGGGGCUCCAAAUCUCAAUCACGCCAUUGCAUGCUUGAAUAACUUCCAAUGAGUCAGAUUCAACAACGACUUGAUGACAGCCGAGUCCUUCAACCAACUCUAGUCCUUGCUGAAUAGCUACUGCUUCCGCCGUUGUUGCAUCAAGGAGAUGAUGAAGCAACCAGGAUGCUCCCGCAAGAGCCUCUCCUCGGUUGUUUCGAAGAAUUGCCGCAGCUGCACCCGUUCCAUCUUCAAAAAAAGCGGCGUCAACAUUUAAUUUAUAAGAAUUGAUUGGAGGUUUCACCCACAUAACUUUAUCCGGUUUCUUCUGAUCCGCAGCUCGAGAAAAGUUACUUGUGAUUGCUUGGAUAGCGAAUGCAGUACCUGAAGGAUUUUGGACAUUUUUGCCCUUAACAAAUUCUCGUCGUUGCCACCAUAUAUACCAAGCCCCAACGACCAAAGACUCCCGGAAUCCCAACCUACCAAGAACAGGUGAAUGUCUCGCCGGCUGCGUUAGUAAUUCUUCAAGGAUCACACUACCCGACCUAUCAAUUUGAAUGACUUCACCUAUUAUUUCAUGUAACCCCAGUUUCUUCCAUACUUCUUUUGCUCUUUCACAUGUAAACAUCAGAUGCCGCAUAUCUUCCGCCCUUGCUUGCAUACUGGGCAUUGAGGCUGUACCUUGAUGUGUCUAUUUGCCAAGAUCGACAUCCCUGGGACAAUACCAUGUAAAGCACGCGCGAAAAUUUUCACCUUGCUUGGAAUUUGUAACUUCUACAAAAUAUCCCAUACCGGGUUUGCAUUCAUAGCUCCUUGGCCAUCCCCCCACCUAGUUUGAGCACCAAAUUGAUGUUCCCAUUCCACAUAAUAAGCUGAUCGAACCGAGAAUGAGAACGACUUCGUAUACUGCCAUGCCACAAAAUCUUCAGUCAUGUUAAUUAGGGCUCAAAGGGAUUUUUAAAAUUCUUUCCACAUCCACCCAAAUAAAAUUAUCUCUAAUCAAAGCCUCAUCCCACUGUCCUGUAAAGGGAUCAAUUAAAUCAUCUACAUUCUGCAGAAGUCUUUGUCCUUUCACAGUUAUUACUUCCCUGUUCGGACUUCUAGGCACCCAAUGGUCUUCCCAUAUGUUGAUAUUUGCUCCAGUACCAACUCUCCAUAUGUGUCCUCUCAUAAAUGUGCGUAGCCCAGCAAUUAUGCUCUGCCAAGUAAAAGAGGAUCCCUUCUUCGGACCCACUUUCAGUAAAUUGUCAUCGGAGUGCUAUCUUUUCGUUCCUCGAUGUGAUGUUUCUUUUUCUUUUGGCGAUGCGGGGUGCACGCGGGAGUAGUUGCUUGAGAUGAAGAUGAAUGGUGUGAUCCAAUGGCCAUACAACACCUGAUCCAACGGCCCACGAGGGGGUUGAAUUUUUGCCCUGCGUCAGUUCGAUGACGCCUAGCAAUGGCCAACAAAAUAUGCAUAUUUAAAAUAAACUAGUAGUAAAUGAUUGCACGGUAAUAUUAGGGAGGAAAUUAAUACAUGUUUAUAAUAGUAGGUAGGAUAUGAAUUGCGUAUUAAUUACACAUUUAUAUUCGCUAGAAUGUCGAUUACUUUUAAUUGCACGCUUAUAUUGGAUAGGAUAUCAAUUAAACCUUAUAAUAAUGUAAUUAGCAUAAAGGUUGUUACUACUUGGUAGUAUGAUAUUAACUGCAUGUUAAACAUGUUGAGCGAUUACCAUUAAGACAAUCCUUUGAUGGCCGAGAUUAAUUGGAUCGACUCUUCGGGGCUUUUUAUAUCGAAAAAACUAAUGACCCAACGUUCCCCAGGAGGGGGGUUUGGAUCCUCUGUUGUAGUGUAGCGUGCAGUACGGUCACUGUCAUGUGGACCCGAUUUCAUAUGUCAUCCGCACUGCAACACGCUACAGUAGAGGAUCUCAACCCCGGGAGGGGUUGACAAACGAACAUAUUUUCUUGACAGUUUUAGUUGCGACUCGAGAUAAAAUGGUGACAAUUUUUAUGAAGAAAAAUGCAUUUUUUGAAGAAAUUGCUAUGUUGUUCUAAAAAAUUGUCACGCGAUUCACAAAAUGUCAACCCCUUCCAGCGAACACGCUGUGGCUAUUGGUUUCUUCUAUAUAUUUGUAUACAUAUAGAUAUAUAUAUGAUAUGGAUACAAUAUAUUAAUAUAAUACUAAGAGAAAUUCGUGAUUAAUAUUUUGCUUUAAAAUCACAUUUGGAUGUAUAAAGUUCUUUUUCGAGCAAAAUUUGGAUGUAUAAAGUGAGUAUGCUAUUUUAGUGGUACUGAAAAAGGAGAUAAGGUGGUGCUAUCUUAGGAGUGCCACGUAGAAUAAAUGAUGAGGUGAGGAGAGAGAACUCAUAAAAAAGGCUUGCUUUUUCUUAUUUAAGAGAAGACAAGAGAUGAUCUUUUAGCAUAAUAUGUCUCACCACGUUUUUAGAAUGAGGUAAAUACACCGCAAGUCACAGAACUUGGACGCGACGGUCAGUUUGGUGCAUAAACUUGUAAAAUACAUGUUUCUGGUCAUCUAACUUGUCUUUCUGUCAUAUACGGUGCUUUUCUACCGUAUGAUGUGCACUCAUGGCUUGCCAACGUGGCAGGGGCCCACUGUCAGUGGCUCAGGCAGUGGGUAAUCUGCAUGCACUGCUAUUUUUCAAAAAGCACCCUUGCAUUUUUAUCUAUUUAUGCAGAAAAAUCCUCAAAUAAAAUGACAAAUGCUAGAGCGGCAGCAGGAUUCAAACACACGCCCUGCUAUGAUUUGCCUCGCUUAGAUGGCCACUUGACCUCCUUACUGUUGACGUUUAUAGAGCACAAUUAGCUUUAUAUAAGAUAAACCGUACGAGUUAAAGUAGAAACCAAACGAGAAAAGGGGAAAGCACCGAUUCUAACCUAUGACCACAUAAGCUCGCUGCGUGUGCGAGCGCCAACCAUCCGGCCACAAUGACAUUUAAAUAGAUAAACACAUUUUAUCGUAUGUAUUUUUUUCUAUUUAAGAAAAUUAAUUAUAUUCUAGAUAAACUUUUCGGCCAAAUCAACUAGAUUUUGUUUGAAUUCAAGCAAUUUUAAAUUUAAAAAUCUAGAUAGGAAAUGUAGUGCAGAAUGAGUGUACGUAUUUUUUUGGACAAACCAACUAAAUUUUUGUAUGAAUUCGAGUAAUUUUAAAUUAAAAAUGUAGAUAAAACAAAAUAUAGUGCAGAAUGAAUGUAAUUUUUUUAUCUCAAAUAAUUUUAAAUUUGAAAUCUGGAUAAAAGAAACUAUAGGUCAAAAUGAAUGUACCUAAAUUUUUUGGACAAACAACUAAUUUUUUGAUUGAAUUUGAAUAAUCUAGAUAAAAUAAAAUAUAGUUCAUAAUGAAUAUACGUAAAUUUCUUUCGGACAAAUAAACAUAAUUUAUUAUGAAUUAAAAAAUCUAGCUGAAAGAAAUUAUAUGUGAAGAAUAAUGUACAUCAUUUUUUUGGACAAAUCAUCUAAUUUUUGUUUGAAUUCAAAUAAUUUAAAAUUUGAAAAUAAGGAUAAAAGGAAAUAUAGUGCCCAAUGAUGGUACAUAUUUUUUUGGGACAAAUCAACAAAAUUUUGUUUGAAUUCGAAUAAUUUUAAAUUUGAAAAUCUAGAUAAAAAGAAAUAUGGGUCAGAAUGAAUGUAUGUAUUUUUUUGGGACAAAUCAACUAAUUUUUAUUUUUAUUUGAAUAAUCUAUAUAAAAUAAAUAUAGUUCACAAUGAAUGUACGUAAUUUUUUUCGAACAAAUCAACGGAAAUUUUGUUCAAAUCCGAUAAUUUUAAAUUGGAAAAUCCUGAUAAAAGAAAACGUAGGUCAGAAUGAAUGUAUGCAUAUUUUUGCCAGAAAAAUUUGUUUGAAUUAAAAUAAUUUUAGAUUAGAAAAUCUAGACAAAAGAAAAUAUAGUGCAGAAUGAAUGUACGUAAUUUUGUUUUGAACAAAUCAUCAGAAAAUUUGUUUGAAGCCGAAUAAUUUUAAAUUUGAAAAUCUAGAGAAAUGAAAAUAUAUUCAGAAUGUGCACUUUUAUUUUAGAGGUGAUAUACCUUAGUAGUCCAAAUGAAAUACCAAGUAUGAUCAGUUGCAGUGGAUAGAUCGCUAGCUCCAUUCCAAUAGGUUGUUGGUUAGAACUCGCUGGUCCCAUUUUUUCCAGCACAAUAUAUUUACAACUUACACUGACCGUAGGACCCAACGGAUAACUAUUGUUGAAGUGCUUUUGUACAAAGUAAAAAAACGAGCGUGUUUUUGAAAAAACAUCAUGUGCACUAGCCACUGACAAUGGGCCCAAUAUAUUUACAACUUACACUGACGGUGGGACCCAGCGGGCAACUAUUGUUGGAUUGCUUUUGUAAAAAGUUAAAAAAAUUAGGGUGUUUCUGAAAAAAAACAUCGGCCCUGGCCAUGUUAGCAUGCCACGUAGGCAGCGAAUACACCCACGUACAGAAAAUGUGACCGUAUUUACACGCCCGUACAAGUUAGAUGACCUGAAAGACGUAUUUUGCAAGUUUAUGCACCAAACUGACCGUCGCGUGCAAGUUUUAAGACUUCUAGUGUAUUUACCUCUUUUAGAAUUGCUAUUUAUUAAAGAUAAGACUAAGAGAUGACCCAUUGUAGACUUUUUCUUUUGCCAUCUCUAGAUUACAUGCAAGACUUAAGAUAAGACUAUGUUAUCAACCAUUGUACAUCCCCUAAUCUAUUUUCGAAAGUCCCUUAAAGUGUAAGUUUGCAAUAAGAAAAGAAAAAUGUAGAAGCUUGNNNNNNNNNNNNNNNNNNNNNNNNNNNNNNNNNNNNNNNNNNNNNNNNNNNNNNNNNNNNNNNNNNNNNNNNNNNNNNNNNNNNNNNNNNNNNNNNNNNNNNNNNNNNNNNNNNNNNNNNNNNNNNNNNNNNNNNNNNNNNNNNNNNNNNNNNNNNNNNNNNNNNNNNNNNNNNNNNNNNNNNNNNNNNNNNNNNNNNNNNNNNNNNNNNNNNNNNNNNNNNNNNNNNNNNNNNNNNNNNNNNNNNNNNNNNNNNNNNNNNNNNNNNNNNNNNNNCUUCUCUCGUCUUUUCUCUUCCCUCGCGCUAAACAACAACGGGAUGUACGCGCCCGCAGGGCGCGAAUCUCAAGGCAUCUCCCGGCGCGUCCGCGCCGCCUGCGGCGGGCGGCUCGGCGGAGCAGUUCCGGGGCAAGGCGCGGCUGCCGAGCUUCGCCGCGCCGCGCCGCUACGAGCUCUUCCUCCGCCCCGACCUCGUCGCCUGCACCUUCUCCGGCUCGGUGGCCAUCUCCGUCGCCGUGUCCGCGCCCACCCGCUUCCUUGUGCUCAACGCGCUCGACCUCUCCGUCAACCGCGCCUCCAUCCGCUUCCAGGUAAGGAGAAAGAAGGAGAAGAAAAAUGAAAUUCCUUGAGACCUCCUCGCCCUCUUCUCAUCGUCCCUCGUCGGUACGGUUCUCGCAGGCUUUGGCGCCCACGGAGGUGGUGUUCUUCAAGGAUGACGGUGUGUUGGUGCUCGGGUUCGCCAAGAAGCUGCCCCUCGGCGAGGGCGUGCUGAAGAUGGACUUCACCGGCAUUCUCAACGACCAGAUGAGAGGCUUCUACAGGAGGUAUGCGACGACUUCCUUCUGGACUCUACCACCCUUGGUAUUUGCACCGUACAUCAACACAGUACUUGUGAUAAUCUAUAUAUGCCAUGAUUUGUUCGAAAUUUUAAGUAGAACAUUACAGAAGGGGAAAAGUUGAACUGUGGUUUCUGUUUACUAGUAAGCGUGCACGUGCCAUGCACGUACAACGACCAUAAUAAGAUGUUUCUUUGUUUAUCUCCGUUAAGAGGCAAUUGUUAAAUAAAAUCAACAAAACUAUACUUCUAUAAUAGAAUGAUAGAUUUCAAGUAGUAGUCGAUGUGUAGUAGAAAAAAAUCUUUCCGACUACGAUGACAAAUAGGAAGAAUUUCCAUUAUGUGGAAGCUUGGAUGUUCCUUUCUGGUACACAAAUAUGAGAUAUGACAUAGGACAACAUCAAACCAUAAACCUCCCAGCCAUUGACCCGCCUUAUCACUUUUUAUGUGCACCGUCAAGACGCUCUCGACAUGUUAAUGUUUAGUUUAUUCUUCACAAAAAUAUCCCAACACUAAAAUUCACAAGCUAAACUUGAGAAGCAACAUGCACAAUCGUUCUCCAAAGUAUCCCCUCUUUCAUCUCUUUUAUAGUCCAGUCCCGAAAAUGUCAUGCCUAAAUGCCAGAAGAAAUAGUGCCGGAUAAAAACCAAGGGUAAACAUUGGAAAACUAAUUGAUUUGAUUGUGUUCACAACAAAACAAAAUCCCCGGAUUCUGGUUAGUAAUGCAUAGAACCCUGAUUUCCAAGUAUACAAGUUUGCAUGUAAGAGAAAUUUCAUGCACACCAUGUAAAUCCACAAGAAAUUAUAAAUGCUAGUUGGGCAGCUGCCUUACAAGCAACAAAUACAUGCAGCAAAGUUUGUAGGAGGGCCUCUUCCAUCUUGGUCACAUUUUGUAGUGAAGAUAUGCGAAUAUUCCAUGGCUGCAAGUAGAUGAGACAUAUUAUGGGAAAAUAAAUAAACGGGGCAUGUUAAUAGUUCGAUGGAGGAGCAGAGGCUGGAGAGCAAUUUUUACGGCGAUUAUCUGUGUACUCAGGAGACCCAUCUUCAUUGAUCUCAACAAUAGCAGGAGAAAUUUAUCUUGUGUCCCACAUGGGCCUCCGUUUCUUAGAAAUACGAGUCAUACCUUUGUUUAUUAGUCUGAUGAGAUAGAGGACGUUAAACAGUUUCAGAUAGGGAACUAACUCCCUUCCAUCGUAUCCCUAAAUGUUCUUCUGAUCUUCUCUGAAAUAGUGAAAGAAUGGUACAUAGUUGUAAUCAACCAAAAAACUGUACUUCAAAAUAUGCACGAGACAAACAGAGAUAGCAGCUGUAACUGGAAGGAAGACAGGUUGGGUUACAGUGCAGAUAAAGCAUAACUGCAUAGUACGUAAAAGGAUUUUGAUAUGAAGAGUUAGCACAAGAGAAACAAGGUUGUAUAACAAAUUAGUAGGAUCCAAGAUCAGGCAAAAGCAAAAACAUGUUCAGGUGGAACGAUGCAGAGGACGGAAAAACAAUCUUCCAUUAUCUAAAAAAAAGUUAAGCAUAUGAAGUGACCAAGAUGAAAUUUUGUAACCAUGACCGUUGCUGAAAUCUAGUCAUUACAAACUUCACAAAUUUCAUGUCUACAACAACUCUUUGCCUUACCUCCAGCAAUCACAGAAAUAUAUACAAAAAAUGAAAACAUGAUUAAUGUUUCCUACCUUAGCCAGGUCAGAAGUGACCCCUGGAUUAGAAAAGCACGGGGCUUCAUCAUUAUUCUGCCCUAAGUGUGAUCAUUUUUGUAGAUCCUGGUCCAUCUCUCUAAAGUCAAUUUUGCUAUGUCCCUUUUUUUUCUUCUUCGAUCCUUGGAUUGAUAAUAACAUGGGAAACAAUCUUCGAUCCUUGGAUUGAUAAUAAUAUGGGAAACAAAUACAUGAGUAUUCUGAGUGCAUCCUAGUUAUUGUUAAUUUUAACACCUGCAAGUUGCAGGUACUCAUGUUAGCUGAAAUCCAUUUCUCAGAAACAUCCAGAGUAAAGGGUGGCAUGCAUGCAAAAGAGUAUAUAAUAUCUCAAGUGCAUCGGUGGAAAGGAUUACUGGUAGAGGGGUCAGACUUGGGAGCUCCAUACAUUCUCCACUCUGAAUCAAACGGCAACACUACACCCUGCACAUCCAUGCACGCUCUGGCAAAGCAAUUUCUUUUUCAGUGAUUGCAAGCAGUAGGCUGCAACUCCUAUAGUAAGUUGCAGGUCAGUCAAAUCCAUUAGUAUAAUCAUUGGUACAAUCAAAUUUCUCAACUUACGAGAGGCCAAGCUGAGUGGGAGAGCGACGGGCGGCUCCGGCGGCGAGCGGAUCCAGGGGCGGGGCAGCUCCGUCGGCGACCAGCGGCGAGCGGAUCCAGGGGCAGGGCGGCUCCGGCUCGCGCGGCAAGCGGCUCCCGCGGGCGGCGGCUGCAGCGGCGAGCGGCUCCCGCGGGGCGGCGGCUCCAGAUGCGAGCGGCUCCUAUGACGGCUCCUACGGCGAAGGGCGGCUAACGUCUGCCGGAGUUUGCGGGGCGGCGAACGGCGCGGGAGGAGGAGGGGAGGUUGUGCGCGCAGGGGCGAGAGUCGUGCGAAGAGGGUGGUCGUGCGGGUCGUGCGAUCGGCUUUCCUUUUUUUUAACGGCGGGCCUUGGUUAUCGAUCGAUGGCUUGUUAGUAGCUUAACGCGUGGUUGGCAGCGUUAAACACCGAAGGGUUAAGGGCCAUUAGAUCUUGAUGAUGGAUGGGCCUGAUUGUUUGGAUCUGCCCCUCUCUUUCUUUUAUAGUGGUAGUAGAUUACUCCCGGUUAGUUACUCACCGACCAAGAAAGUGACCAGUCCCGAUAAUGCACUUGCUACGAAUUCGAUGAUACGUGGUUUGGAAGUUCACUGUGAAGGCGUUAUAGUUUUAUGAUCUAUUUCUGAAAUAAGAGUUUAAUCGAGCACUUUGGUAUGAAUGCCUCUCCUGCUAUUUAUGCUUUUCUGAUUUCGUUUGAUUGCAGUAAGUACCAGUAUAAGGGGAAAGAGAGAAACAUGGCGGUGACGCAGUUUGAGUCCGUGGAUGCUCGGCGGUGCUUCCCCUGCUGGGAUGAGCCCGCAUUCAAGGUGAUUAUAUAUGAUAGCUGGAAGGAUGACUUUAUGUUCCUCAGAUAUGUACACAUAGAGCAUCAGUGAAGUUAGAUAUAUUUCAUAACAUUUCUUGUUUUGCCGUUUCGAUUUUCCAGGCUAAGUUCAAGCUAACACUUGAAGUUCCAUCUGAGCUGGUAGCGCUGUCCAACAUGCCAGUAGCUAACGCGACAUUUGCUGGUCCUAUCAAAACUGUGCGUUACCAUGAAUCGCCACCUAUGUCAACUUAUUUAGUGGCCAUAGUUGUCGGUUUGUUUGAAUAUGUAGAGGGUAUGACAACAAAAGGUAUCAUCUCUGUUUCUGAAAUCAUCCAUUCAAAGAGUGUGCAUGAGACCUUUCUCUUUCCCUUCAUUUUAUUUGUUUGUUUAAUUUUAUUCAGGCAUGAGAGUUCAUGUGUACACUCAAACUGGUAAGAGUAACCAAGGGAAGUUUGCACUAGAUGUUGGAGUGAAGUCGUUGAAUCUCUAUGAAGAGUAAGAUCACAAUCUAGCCGUGCUUCCACACUUUGGUUUCUAACGGAUAUGCAUGAUUGAUGUUAUUGAAAUACUGUGUCAAGCCGUGGUUGUUGCUGAAACAGUAACAUUAACAAAAAAGCUCAUUUCCUCGAUUGUUCAGUUACUUUGCCACUCCAUAUCCACUCCCCAAGUUGGAUAUGGUUGCUAUCCCUGAUUUUGCUGCUGGAGCCAUGGAGAACUACGGAUUGGUCACUUACCGGGAAGUAGCUUUGCUUUUCGAUGACAAGUCUUCAUCAGCAUCCAGCAAACAGAAUGUAUGUAUCAUAGCUCAGAAACUUAUUUAACUUAUCUUUUCAUCGUUUACAAUUCACCUCUUAACUAACUGUGCGAUGUUACUAUACAUAAAUCAGUUUAGUAAAAAAGCUACACUAUAUCAUGAUCAUCUAUAAUUCACUAAUAAUUCCUAACAUUUUUUCGUAAUUAGACCUUUUAUACGUGUAAACCCUUUUUAUAUUAACCGCAGCAUGUAUUUUGUUUAGAUUGCAAUUACUGUGGCACACGAAUUGGCUCAUCAAUGGUUUGGCAAUCUUGUAACCAUGGAAUGGUGGACUCACUUGUGGUUAAAUGAGGGAUUUGCUACAUGGGUAAAUCAAUUCGAUCGCUCAAAAGUUAAAAGAAUGAGAUAUCAGGUUACCAAUGUAUACUGAAUGAAUAGGCUUUUUGUUUUCCCAGAUGAGCCAUCUAGCAGUAGAUUCUUUUUUUCCACAAUGGAAUAUCUGGGCACAGUUUCUUGAUCCCACAACCACUGCUCUCAGGCUGGAUUCACUCGAGGCGUCUCAUCCUAUUGAGGUAAUCUCAUUGUUUAGUACUGUGCCAUAGCCUGCUCCUGUGGUUGGGUAUGUUGUGGACUACAUUCUCCAAAACCAUAGUUGUCAAUGUCAUGCACUCUACUAUCAUAGAAGUUCAAGUAUCUAUUUUAAAUUGCAAAUUUUGACAAUGGCAUGUUCAAGUAACGAUAGUGCAUACUGCGUAAUAUGCUAUUACCAACACAUUAUUGGCCGAUUCAUGAUUGACUCAUAAAAUUUCUAUGGAAUAUUAAAAUUGAUGCUGAAGUAUCUCUACUCUGACAAGUGGCAUCUUACUUUGGGAGCAACUUCAGUCAAUGCAUCAACAGAGAUUCAGUUCAUGGCAUUAACAUUUUCACUUCUCUAAUUCUAGCUUGUGAUUCAUUUUAUACUUUCCACUAUCCUUUUUCCUGGAUGCUCAGGUUGAAAUACACCAUGCCAGUGAAGUUGAUCAGAUUUUUGAUGCUAUUAGCUAUGACAAGGGUGCUUCUGUUAUUCGCAUGCUACAAAGUUACCUUGGCGCAGAGCGUUUUCAGGUCUAAUACUGCCUCUACCUGAACUCUAGAAACUCGUCACUGACUCACUCUUCUUGCCUAGAUUUGGCAUUCUUUUUCUCGUCAUGUAGCUUAAAAGUAUACAAGAUCACUUUCAGCAAGUUUAUUUUGUUCUUUAUGGAAACAGUGAUACUUUGAUGUCAUUUCCCCGCUAUUCCAUCUAGUAGAAAUACUAGACGACUACAUGGCUUGUCCAUUGCAUAAAAUGUUUGUAUGCUCUUGAAUCAUACUAGUUGGUAAACUUGCUUUUGGUCAGCAGUGUUUUAGGGAGAGAUUGCUGUUCUCUGAAGACAUAUUCUAGGAGCAAAAUGACCAUUUCUUCAUAGAUUAUCCUGCCCUUGUUUAAUGCAUACAAGCAUCAUGUGACCAUUUGUACUUCACCGAUCACAUGAUUUAAGGUGGAUGGUUUGAUAAAUUAGCAUAUAGAGACAGAUUUGUCGAUAUAGGUGUGAUGGUCAUCUUAUGUAUUGUUGUAGCAUGUGUCAUGCUCACAGGAUAACAUUACUUGUUCACAAAAAAAAGUAGUAAAAUUUAGCGAUUGUUGACUCUUUUCUUGAUCAUAUAAUGAAUCUAUCAAACUGCAUACUAGCUUAUUAUGUUAAAAGUCAAUUUUUAAUUAAUUACAUUAUUUAGUCAAACAAAUUGCUGCACUCUCCUUUCUGUGUAAUUUCCCCCUGCUACUCUUUAACUCCACGUCGUUCUCCUAGUGUAUUCUCAUAUGCUAUAGAUAUGAAACUGUGUUCUUUCAGAAAGCAAUGGCUUCAUAUAUGAAGAAAUAUGCAUACUCAAAUGCUAAAACCGAGGACCUUUGGGCUGUUCUUGAAAAGGAAACUGGUGAACCUGUCAAGGAUUUAAUGACUACAUGGACGAAGCAAAAAGGUUAUCCUGUUAUUAAUGCAAAAAUUAAAGGGAAUGACAUAGAGAUUGAGCAGGUAAUAGUUUUUUUCUUCUUUUUGCGGGUGAGCAGGUAAUAGGUUAUCUUACAUACCAUCCUUCGUAUCUAUCAUGCAUUCAUCAUCACACGACUAACCAAGUAUGCAUUUGUUUGGUUAAUAUGUCCUUGCUAUUACCGAAAAAGGCUUUCGCCCCGCUUUAUAAAUAAAGCAAACCGCCAAAGAUCACACAUAUAGAGUCAAGUCCACACACACACACCCAAGUCUCACAACAAAGUACAUACGUUCUGCUAAGGGCACAGCUCAACAAGCCCAGAAAAUAAAAAACAGAGCACGCUGGACGAAUAUAGCGUCUAGUCUGGUUCCGGCGGCGGUGGCGGGGGCGGCGGCGACAAACGGACGGCCAUCGAGCGGAGGUCGGUGAUGAAGGCUGAGAUGGCGUCGCGGUCCAGGGGGCGGCUAAGCGUCCGCCAAAGCUGCAAGGAACCCGAGAGUUUGAAAAGAGCGUCAGUAGCCCGUCGAAGAGGAGUGCGCUGAAUCACAAGCUUAUUGCAGACAGUCCAGAGGGUCCAGGCGAAGACCCCAAUCUCAAGCCACCUAAUGUGGUGAGAAGUCACGGGGGACAUCUGGGGUUCGGCAAAUAAGUCAGGGAAGUUGGUGUGGCACCAAUUUCCACCGACCGCUUCGCGAAAGCAGCUCGAGAGGAACUGAGCGGACACGCAGGAGAAGAAAAUGUGGUUCGAGUCUUCGGGGACCCCACAGAGCGGGCAGAUGCCAGUACCCGGGCCAUUUCGCUUGCGCACCUCCACCCCGGAUGGGACCCGACCGCGAAUCCAUUGCCACAUGAAGAUACGGAUCUUCAGGGGCAGGCGGAUGGACCACACCAUCGAUAAGGGGAGGGGGGCGGAAGAUGGAGCGAUGGCCAGGUACAGCGACUUGGUGGAGAAUUGGCCCGAAGGUUCAAGGCGCCAGCGCACCAGGUCAGGGCCACCAUCCACCAUCGGUUCGUGGAGAGCAACACAGUCAAGCAACUCACGCCAGGCGGCGGAUUCCAAGGGACCAAAAGGCCAUCGGAAAGCAAGGCGCCCUAAGUUAAGAAGGGCCCUAUCAACAAAAAUCACGGGAUCGACGGAGAUGGAGAAGAGGUCGGGAAAGCGAGCCGCAAAGGGAGUGUCCCCGGCCUAGCGAUCAAACCAGAAUAGCGUCGAUGCCCUGGAGCCCACCGAGAUGGAGGUCCCGAUACGGAGGACCGGGAGAAGCUGGACAAUCGACUGCCAGAACUGGGAUCCGCCAGACUUCUGGCAGAAGGCGAGGGGCUGUCCGCGCAAGUAUUUGUUCCGGAUGAUAUCAAGCCAAAGGCCAUCGUGCCCUUGCGAGAUGCGCCAAAGCCAGCGGGAGAGAAGGGCGAUAUUCAUCUGUUUAGAGCACAUGAUGCCAAGGCCACCUUGCUCCCUGGGCUCAAAUGUCAGGCCAACUGACCAUAUGAUACUUCUGCUUGUCGUUGUCGCCCGCCCAGUAGAAGCGGGACUGGACCUUGGCGAUCUCAUGCUGAAGGGUCUCGUGGAGACUGUAGAAGCUCAUGAGAAACAAGAGGAGGCUGGAGAGGGAAGAGUUGAUGAGAAUAGUCCGUGCCGCCUUGGUCAGCCACCUCCCCUGCCAGGGCUCGAUGCGCGUUUGGAGCUUGGCCACGGAGGGGCGCAAGUCCGCGACGGUGAGCCGGGAGUCAUUAAUGGGCGUCCCCAGGUAGGUUGUGGGGAAGGAGCCCAGGCGGCAAUUAAGUCUGUUCGCGAUGGCCAAAGACUCCGAGGGGGAGUAUCCCAUCACCAUAACAUCACUCUUGUCGAAGUUGAUCUUGAGGCCCGACAUCUGUUGGAAGCAGAGAAGUAGGAACUUGAGGUUGGAGAUGUCCGUCUCCGAGCCUUCGACCAUGAUGAUUGUGUCGUCAGCAUACUGGAGGAUGGAGAUCCCGGAGCCACCGGCAAGAUGGGGAGUGAUCCCAUGAAUAUGGCCGGCGGCUUUCGCCUUAUCCAGAAUGGAGGUAAGCGCGUCCACAACCAUAUUGAACAACAAUGGGGAGAAGGGGUCGCCUUGUCGUACCCCACAAAGGGUGGGGAAGAAAGGGCCGAUCUCGCCGUUGAUGUUCACGGCCGUGCGACCGCAAGAGACCAUUUGCAUGACUCUAGUGAUCCACCGGUCGUCAAAUCCCUUCCGAAGAAGGACUUCCCGAAGGAAGGGCCAGCUAAUCGUAUCAUAGGCCUUAUGGAAGUCAAUCUUCAGGAAAACCGCCUUGAGGUGUUUGAUGCGGACCUCAUGAAGGACCUCAUGAAGGACUAGGACCCCAUCCAGGAUGUAACGGCCCUUUAUGAAGGCCAACUGGUUGGGGUGAGUCACACGGUCCGCCAGUAGGGUCACCCUAUUGGCGUACCCUUUGGCCAGGAUCCGGAAAAUCACAUUAAUGACCGUGAUAGGGCGAAAAUGAUGGAUGUCGGACGUCCCAGGGACCUUGGGGAUGAGGGAGAUGAUCCCAUAGUUGAGGCGCCCGAGAUCAAUGGAGCCAACGUAGAAUUCGUCGAAUAUGGCCAUGACCUCAGGUUUAAUCACUUUUCAGAAGGUCUGGAAAAAUUUAACCGGGAGGCCAUCCGGUCCCGGCGCCGAGGAUGGGUUCAUGCCCUUGAUGGCAUCCCAGACCUCUUGCUCGGAGAAGGGGGCCGUAAGGGCCGCGUUCUCCGAAACAGACACCAACUGGGAACCAGACCAGCAAUCGGGGGCGAGAGAGAUGCCGCUUCGAGGGGCGGCAGAGAAUAAGGAUCUAUAGAAACCGUCGACGUGGGAUCGGAUGUCACGAGGGUCUUGAAGGAGAGCCUCACCGUCCCACAAGAGAGGGAUGGUGUUGCGUCUACGGCGGCCGUUGGCAAUGGCCUGGAAGUAUGCCGUAUUCGCGUCGCCUUUCAAGACCCAUUUCUGGGCACCACGGAGGCGCCAAUAGGCCUCCUCAUCGGUGUAGAUCACGGAGAGCUGGUCUUCCAGGUCAUAACGGGAGAGCCACUCAUCCGGGGAAAGACCCACCGAGUCAGCACGCAGGUCAAGGGCCUGGAUCGCGGACAACAACGCCUUCUUGCGCUCACGGAGGUCACGACCCAGAUUCGCACCCCACCCCUUAAUGAACUGCCGACCGUGUUUCGCGCAGAAGUGCCACGAAUCAAUGGCCGAAGGGGGGCGGGAGUGGGGGUGGCUGUCAGGACCCUGACUCAAUGCCACAUCGAUCUAGCAUGUAACACCUCAUAUCACUUUGCGGCCUCACGCACGGUAUUCCCACGGGUGUCGCCUUACCUUUGCCCGGGACCGUUUGCGCCUUUUGGCACACGUAUAUGAUAGUGUCGCUAGCAUCCAUAUGAUAAGGAGCCCGGGCUGACAUGGCUAGUCGUAAACCCAAAGUGGCACAAACUUACAGGGACAGGCAUCCAUGACCCAGCAUCAAACGUGUCGAUCAUCAGCGAGUGAAUCCAGGCUGUAGCACUGGGCUAGCAGGACUCCGGUGAACCGGGCUGUAGCGGGCUAACAGGACUCCGGUAUUCAUCGCGUGACAUUUCCCCGAGGGGACAGACACAGGAACGAAGAAGGACACAUGCCGCCAGCCUAAGUGUUCCGGAGCAGUAGCAAGCUACCAUGGCUCGGCGGAAACACUAGGAGACAUUUCCCGGUAAGAGAGGCUACUAAGGAUAAACAACUAGAUAGUCAGAUCCCACACAUACCAAGCAUUUCAAUAACAUACACACAAUAUGCUCGAUAUGUGCAAAUACAACAUGGCAUCACAACAUGACUCUACGACCCAAGUAUGUAUUCAUUAGGCUCCGAGGAGCGAGAUAUUACAAACAGGGGUCUCAUGACCCAACAUUCAGAGCAUACAAAUCAAAGCACAAGCGGAAGCUUAACAUGUCUGAGUACAGACAUCUACAAAUGAAAAAGGCUGAGAAGCCUGACUAUCUACCAGAUCCUGCCGAGGGCACAAGAUCGUAGCUGAGGUAACAAGCUAAACGUCGAAGUCCACGCGGAACUACUAGCGAGACCGAAGUCUCUCUGCAAAAACAUAAAAUAGGCAAACGUGAGUACAAAUGUACCCAGCAAGACUUACAUCAGAACUAACUACAUAUGCAUCAUUAUCAACAAAGGGAUGGUGGGGGUUUAACUGCAGCAAGCCAGCUUUGACUCGGUGGCUAUCCUGAACUACGACUGCAAGUAACUCUUUUGAGGUGGCGCACACGAGUCCACAUAUUCACCAUAUCAAUACACCACUAUGGAUCCGCUCCCGUCUCCCUACGAGAACGCCAUCCAUAGCACUCACGCUUAUCUUGCGUAUUUUAGUUAUCCUCUUUCACUUGUCUAUGAACUGAUAUAAGCAACCCAGAAGUCCUUUACCGCGGACACGGCUAUUCGAACAGAUGAUGUUAACCCUGCAGGGGUGUACUUCUUCAUACAUGUUUCCACCACUUAGCGUCUGCACACGACAUGUGCUCGGCAGACUUCAAGCGAAAGCCGACGUGGGUGUAGACCACGACCUACCUAAACACUCGAGUCUCUAGUCCAGGUUUAUCGCCUAUUCGGGUUCCAUCCAUGAGGAGAUCCGGCCGGGGUUUCGCUCACAGCCCCAAACGAUGUGAACAGGGUUCCGUGACACCAAACGGGCGCCCGGUAUACCCGGCCACGUGCCUACCGCAUCACAGCCCACCCCUACGGUCAGCGCUGUCCACGGCCUCCAGCAUACUACAAACACCAGAAACUACUUGCAACUCCUGGACAGAGGACAAGGGUGAAUAAGAAGUCGAGCGGGGUCAUAUUUCAGGGCCCAAUGCAUGGUAGUAGCUGAAUCAUGGAUCACAAACACAGAGCUCAGUUCCUAAGGACGGCUUCAAUGAGACAACCCACCAUGUACUCCUACAUGGCCUCUCACCGAUACCUUUUACCAAAUCGUGUUCACACACUUAGCUCACACACAGUAGGACAUGUUCACACACCUCUGAUUCAUCCCCGAUGAAUCAGACCUGACUCAACUCUAAGCAGUAGCAGGCAUGACAAACAAGCAUGAAUGAGUAGGCACAACAGGGCUCAAACAACUCCUACUCAUGCUAGUGGGUUUCAUCUAUUUACUGUGGAAUGACAGGUCAUGCAAAGGAUAAAGGGGUUCAGCUACCGCAGCAAGUAACAAAUGACUCGUUGUUGUCCUAAUGCAGUAAAAGAGAGCAGGGCGAGAGAGUAGGAUUGUAUCGGAAUGAACAAGGGGUUUUUGCUUGCCUGGCACUUCUGAAGAUAAUAUAGUUCUUCAUCGGUGUCAUCGAUCUCAUCGUCGGUAUCACGUCUAUCGAGAGGGGACAAAUACCGGCAACACAGAAAAGAACACAAUCAAUGCAAUGCACAAUAUGAUGCAUGAUCAUGACAUGGAAAAAAUGAGUGUGUUGGGAUAAUGCAACUAUAAUCGGAUGAAUUUGAGUUAGUUUGAACCCAAGGUUCAAGUUCAAAUUGAAACUAUGACUUAAAAAAGUGCAUUAUCAUGUUUUGAUAUAAACAACAGGUUUAACUUGCUUAAACAUGCAUGAAACCAGUGCAGAUGGAUAGAUUGGAUUUUUCUGAUCAUUUUUCAUAUAUAACUUAUUUCAUUUGGAGUUACGGUUGAAUUUCUAUGAAUUUUAGAAGUUUAGAUCAUUUUCUGAAAUUUAUAAAUCAUUUCCGAUUUAUUUUAAUUCCAGAAAAUGUUUACUGCGUCAGCAUUAGGUCAUGCUGACCUCAGCAGGUCAACAGGCGCCGCCAGGUCAAACCUGACCAGUGGGGCCCACUGGUCAGUGACUGGGGCUGGUUAGUGUCGCUGACAUGUGGGCCCAGUCAACAGCCACGUCAGCUUGGUCAAAGCUGACGUGUGGGCCCACUGAGAUUAAUUUAAACUAAACAGAAACUAAUCUACAUUUAAUUAGACAACGGGGCCUAGCUGUCAGCGAAUGAGCUUUGGCUAAACAUAGUAAUUAGACAAAUCUAAUCCGUCCACGUCAGCACACCGGAGAAUGGCCGGCGGCGACCUCAAACGCGGCGGAGGGUUGCCGGAGUGGCGCUACGGGUGGUGUUGGGCCAAGCCAAGGGCAUCAGAAGGUUGCCCUUGCUCGCGCGCAUCCAGGGGAGGCACGCGGGAGGGCGCGGGGUGGCCGGAUCUCGCCGGAGCGAGCUUGCGGCGGCGGCCGGAGGUCGGCCUCGAGCGGCUAGGGGGCUACGAUGCAGCUACGGACGAGCUACUAGGUGCGUUCGGCUCCUAGGAGCGAGGUGAGGACGAUGACGCGCUCGGGCGCAAGCUGCAGCGUCCGUAGCGGCAGCGGCGACAAGGUCAGCGGCGGCCGGAGUUCGGCCGCGACGGAGAUAUGGCCUAGAGCUCGCAACGCGAGGGGAAAGAGUGGGGUUCGGAUCAGGAGCUCACUGCAAGGUCGGAGAGAAGCUCGGCGGGCUCGGGGGCGCGCCGGAGUGGCUGGAUCGACGAAGAAGAGCGCCGGAGCCGAAGCUUGAAGACGAAGAUGAUGGCGGCUGCUCGGGGCCUCCGUGCUUCCUUCCUUCGGUGCAGAGGUGAAUCAAGAGGUGGCGGAGGCUCUGGAUAGCUCGGGGAGGCAAGGCGAUGGUGGUGGGCGCGGCGGCUCACGGCGGCGUGCUCAGGCGCGUGAGGGGGAGAGCGAGGGAGAGAGACAGAGGAAAAGGGAGGGCACGGGGGAAGAGUGCGAGAGGGUCGGGGUAGUACGUGGCGGCUCCAGGAGCCUCUCCCGCCUCGGCGGAAGCAGGAGGUGGCCACGGCGUGUGGCCGCAGGCGCCGGGCACGCGCCUCUCGUCCUCCUGGUGAGAGGAGGGGGAUGACUGGCAGAGGGCUUGGUGGGCUGGGCCGCACAGUAGUGGGCAUCUGGGCUGUAGGUAAGCGCCAGGUAGUCCUUCUCUCUCUCUCUCUUUUAUUUCUAUUUUUGUUCUAUUUUCUAUUUAUGCAAAUUUGUUUUAAUUUGGUUUUCAAACCAAAUCACUAUUAAAAAUUCUGGAAAUAGUUAUGGGCACUAAAUGAAUUAUUCCAGAGGCUCUCAACUAAUUCCAAAAUUGUUGGAGCAUUUAAAAAUAUUUAUAGUAUUUAAAUGCCCCAAUUCAAAUAUAAUAUGAGUUAAUUCAAAAAUACAGAAUGGCCUAAAAAAUAUGUGCAUCAUUUUUGGCAGAGGUUCUAGACCAAUUCAAAAAUGAUGGACAUUUAUGAAGGCAUUUUGGGUUCGUUGAAAAAAAAACUAAUUUUGACCCUAGUUGAAUUCAUUUGGUGUCAGGGUUUCAACACCCCCCAUUUCAAGUUAAAUAAAAUUUAAACAUGAUGCACACAUGAAGCUAGCCUAGUGCAAAGGCAGAGGCUAGGGACAUGACAGUGGGCGCGAGCCUCGAUGCACCGAGUGCCAACGGCGUCGAUAAACCCGGCCUGGGAGAGCCAGAAGGUCUCAAACCGGAAUCGAGGGGUGACCGGCGGACGUUCGUCGGCAAAAGGGAGGAGAAGGGGUACAUGAUCUGAACCAAUCCUCGUGAUGGCGUGAAGGGAGGCUAAGGGGCAGCGGAGGUCCCAAUCCGGGGACACUAGGACUCGGUCCAGGACAGACUGGGUCGGGGAGGCUUGCCGGUUGGUCCAGGUGAACCAGGCACCAAUCCUAUCGAUCUCGCGGAGACCGAGGUCCGCAAUGAAGUCAUUGAACAUUUGCAUCCGCGCAAAGUAGACAUUAUCAUUGCUCUUGUCUUCCGCCACGCGCAGGAGGUUAAAAUCGCCUCCCACCACCAACGGAAGGGAGGCUGCGGAGAUCUUCCGGUGGAGCUCCUCGAAGAAGGCAGCCGACCGACUAUGGUCAGCAGGCCCGUAGACAAUGAUGACCUCCCACUUGAAGUUUAGAGACCUCUCGAACAACUCCAUGCUCACAAAGAAUUCCCCUCGAUCCAUGCUACCCACCUCAAAUGUGGCAUCCUUCACGCCUAAAAGGAUACCACCCGAGUGGCCGGCGCUCCCACUAGAAGGGAGUCAAUGACACGCAAAGAGGUGGGAGCUUAGACGGUCAAGCUCAGGGAGCGAGAAUUCGAGUCGCAUGGUUUCUUGAAUGGCAACUAUGUCGAUGUGUUCCUCCCGCAUAUACUCCACAAGUUGGCGGCGUCGGCCAUCAUGACCGAAACCGCGGAUGUUCCAGAAUAAUGCACGCAUUAAGGCGCCAUUGGGGGGCUGCUUGACCCCAGGACACGAGAGGCGCUUUGCGCACGGAGGGCCGCGGUGCGGGAGCGAGUGCGACCACGGAUCUCCUCCCCCACUGGCGGGGGGGGGGGGGUAUGGAGCUGUCAGCCGCGACGCGGUCGGGGGAGAGGGGUCUCACCAGCCGCGGGCGGGACGGGAGGUAGAAGGAAGGCCGCACGGGCCUCCGCCAGCCUCCCGUCAAGAAUCUCGCGAGCUCUAAUAGCCGCGAUCUGGACUAAGGGGGGACCUGCUUCCCCCCUAAAAAUGAUUGCGGUCAAAGGCAACCUUUGCGAGGUUGCCUAGAGGAAUAGCCUCAAGCGCAACGAAGGAACAAGACGAAGCCGAAGGGGGAACGACAGGCGUACCUGGCUCCAGGUUCCGAGCAGCAGCGCGGAGCUCCGCCCGCUCGGGGAUGGGCAGAGCCGGACUGCCCUCGGGGUGAGCAGCAUCCAGCCGAGCGCUCCGACGGGAAGCAAUCACCGGGGAGGAUGCCGACCGGCAGUGGGCGAGAGUAGGCGGCGGACCGUGGAGGAGGGGGCUGGGCAGCCAUGGGGGUGGUCACCCUAGCCUCCCCGUCCAUGGUCGGGGCCUCCGCGGGUGAAGCCAGGGACGCGGGCACGGUGCAGCUGAGGAGGAGCGGAGCCGGGGACGGAGUCGCGGACGGAAGCAACAUCGGCGAAGGGGGGAUCGCAUAGCCCGCGGCUGAGGCCGCCCGCGGGAGCGGCGGAGGAGGUGGCGCCUCGGGCGGUGUGGGCUGAGCGACCGCGGGAGGCGAAGCCGGAGGGGGGGAGUCCGCCACAGGGGGCUCAUGAGGGGCCACCGAGGCCGCUGGAAGCAGACUGGGAGCCGGAGCUGUCGAGUCCAGCGCGACGGGAGCAGACGAGGAAGGGGAGCGUGGUGAAGAUGCCGGGCAGACCAGGCCCACGCUGGAGAUGUCGCUUGCCUCGGAGGACGUCGCCACAGAGUCCGAGGGACCGCCGAGAAGCAUGCUGGGUGCGGCCUGGCGGCCCUUGGCCCCCGCGGUAGGGGGAGGGGGCGAAGGGGACGGGGAGCGGGAGUCCUCCGAGCCUCCCUCCUCAUCCGAGUGGUGGGAGCGCGCACGGUGACGACCGUGGUAGUCCCCGUCGGUCCCCGGGUUGCCGCCGGGGAGGCCAGUGUCGAAGGAGCGGGGGCGACCGACGUGGUUGGGGGGCUCGGGGGCGAUCCUGAGAUCGAAGCCCUGGUCGUUGAAGAAGACGCGGACGGUGGUGUGAAGCUUGGAGGAGUCGAGGCACUUGACCUUGACCCGGACCUCCUCCUCCUUGCGUAGAGAGAGCUCAUCGACCACCACCACCUUGCCCAAGAGGCGGGACAUCUGGCGAAUGCCGAGCUCGGACCGCGCAAUAUCAGGGAGGCCGGCCACAAGUAUCCAAACGGUGUCGAGGACGGCCACGGCCUGAGCGUCGAGGAUCGGCUCGGAGAUGUCGACAACCAGUUGGUUGAGAGCGAGCGUGAUCCGGCCACUGCGAGUCACGUAGCCGUAGCUGACGGAGUCGGGGAAGACGACGGUGAAGAUGUGGCCAGCAGUGGGGGUGACCACCCAGUCCCAUUGACGACGGUAGAGGUGGUUGAGCUCGGCCUCAAUCAUCUCCGGGGAUGCCACCCCGUCGACCACAGUGACGACCGCCUGGAGGGUGGGAGAGGGCGGCGGGACGUCGGGGACCUCGAGGUGGAAGAAGACCAACCCCUCGAUACCGUGGCCGUACAUCAUGAGCUCAGACACCACCGGUCUAUCCGGGCACAGGAGAGCGGGGUGGCCCGGAUCCUUGCAGAGGUAGCAGCAUUGGGGAUUGACACAGUUGACUUGCGAAUGGCCCCCCACCCCGCAGUUGAAACAGGGGGGGCGAGGGAGACCAGAGACGGGCUCGGGCAUGGCGGAAGAUCCCGGGGCCGCCGAGGGGGGCACGGGCGGAGCGCCGCGGGCACCCCGACGCUUCUUCUUCUUGGCCGGCCCAGCGCGGCUGCGCGCGGUGCCACCGCCCGAGGCCGGAACCGAAGCCGUGGCCGUGGGAGCGGAGGCAUGGGGCGGCACGUAACGACGGGGAGCAGNNNNNNNNNNNNNNNNNNNNNNNNNNNNNNNNNNNNNNNNNNNNNNNNNNNNNNNNNNNNNNNNNNNNNNNNNNNNNNNNNNNNNNNNNNNNNNNNNNNNNNNNNNNNNNNNNNNNNNNNNNNNNNNNNNNNNNNNNNNNNNNNNNNNNNNNNNNNNNNNNNNNNNNNNNNNNNNNNNNNNNNNNNNNNNNNNNNNNNNNNNNNNNNNNNNNNNNNNNNNNNNNNNNNNNNNNNNNNNNNNNNNNNNNNNNNNNNNNNNNNNNNNNNNNNNNNNNNNNNNNNNNNNNNNNNNNNNNNNNNNNNNNNNNNNNNNNNNNNNNNNNNNNNNNNNNNNNNNNNNNNNNNNNNNNNNNNNNNNNNNNNNNNNNNNNNNNNNNNNNNNNNNNNNNNNNNNNNNNNNNNNNNNNNNNNNNNNNNNNNNNNNNNNNNNNNNNNNNNNNNNNNNNNNNNNNNNNNNNNNNNNNNNNNNNNNNNNNNNNNNNNNNNNNNNNNNNNNNNNNNNNNNNNNNNNNNNNNNNNNNNNNNNNNNNNNNNNNNNNNNNNNNNNNNNNNNNNNNNNNNNNNNNNNNNNNNNNNNNNNNNNNNNNNNNNNNNNNNNNNNNNNNNNNNNNNNNNNNNNNNNNNNNNNNGGUGGCGGGCCGGUCGAACGGGGCGAGGGAGCGGCCGGAGUCGAAGCAGGGGGGGAUGCGACGGGGAGGAGAUGGGGACGAGGAGAGGUGGCGGCGCUGGGGAGAGGGGGUCGCGGGAAGCCGCAGGGUAACCAUAUGGAUGGGGCCAGCGCCCUAGGGCAACCCAGCGGCCCAACGCUAGUGGGCCGGCCCGGGGGGAGGGGAGACCAUCCGGUAUGGCAUCACUGCGGCCCAGCUGCCGGGGCGGGCCGGGGCCCAGCAGCCCAGGAACACCAGCGGCCCGGCCCAGGCGACGGGGAGGCACGGGAGCCCUAAGGGUUUCCCUCCCAGGGGCGGGCGCCGCCGCCGCCGCCGGCGUGGCUCCGGCGCAGGCAGCCAGGGCAGAGGGAUCCCGACGGACCGAGAGGAACCGGAGGUUCGAGAACCCGAAGGCCGCGAUAAAGGGCCUAAAGGGGGAGGAUCGCACGCACGGGGUCGGGGGAGAGCAGGCGGAGAUCGACGCCGAGGGAGAUGGGUAGGCCGCCGGCCGGGCCUCCGCCGCCGGGCGGCGCCAGGAGGAGCGGGCGGCACCCCGGCCGGAGCGGCCAGCCACGCCCCAGGAGCGUCCGCGCCGGCGGCGAGCAGCGCCACCAGCCAAGCCCGCACCUUGGCGCUCCACCGCCCGAGUCGAGCUCGAGGGCGUCGUCGGCUGCGACUGCGGCGUUCGCGGGCCAGCAGCAGAACCCCUCACGUGGGGGGCUGAGCUGCCAGCCCGGCGCGGCAGCGCGGCGGCGAGCGAGGGGGUGGGGGCUGGGGGGGGGGACGGCUCAUCGUUGGCGAAGUCGGCCCAACGGAUCCGAGGCGCGGAGGGGGCGGCAGCAGGAGCGGCUGGAGGGGAGGGAGGCGCCGCGGCCGCCGGAGCGGGGCACUCGCUGGAGGGGGCAGCUGGGAUGGAGGCGGGGGGCGCCACCGGCGGCGGGUGCGCGCCGGCGCAGGCGCCAGAAUCGCCAGAGCACGGGAGCUCCAUCCCGCUCCUAUACCUAUAUCCCCCGCUGCGUAUUUGGCUGCUCCGUCCUUGCUAUUUAGUUAAGUUCUAGUCGUGGCAUGCCAUUUAGAGUUUCUUCUUUAAGAGAAUCAUCUGCUAACUGGUUGUGGCAAAAGCUUGACCAAACCUUGGUUUUUGUUCCAUACCAUUUUGUGAAUGUUUAACUGACUGUAACUGGUCCUCUGAGAAUACUGUACUCAAUGAUGUAAAAAAACUGGAAAUAUUUUACUGCCCCUACGGCCAUUGAUCUGUCACUUGAUGCAUUCACGUAUUUACACAGCAGCCCUAGUAUCUGAUCAUAUAUUCUGGGAUAUGGCUGAAUGGUAUCAAGAACAACUUACAUGAAUCUCGUAGAAGAACUGAAUUAGAUCUUGUUCUGAAGUUGGAGCUCUUUUAGGGUGCUCUAUCUUACCACAUUAGAGGUAAGAGGUGGUUUAAAUCUGAGUGGUUGGUUGAUGAAAGUUUGAAGGUUAUUUUGGGCCCUAGUGCAGAUAAGGCUAAUAAGGAAACCUACAAUUAAUUUGGUAAGGUAGAUAGGCACAGACGUUUCCCUACAAAUCACGAGAGACAUGUUUAAAUGCACAUUACUUCCCAUGUUCCCAUCUCAGCCCAGGGAUACACAUCCUGCAUGACUAUUGAUUUAAAUCAGAUGGUUGCAAAAAGAUCUAGACCACAGUUUUCUGCAGUUUCAGUUAUGUAUUGCUAAUUUGAAUGAUCAAAUAAUAUUUGAGAGCAAUGUUUAGUGUUAAAUUUUAUGACAGCUUGAAAUGGAAGUGUCAGAUUCAGACUUACAUAUAAAGUUAGUAUUAUAAGGCAAUAGGCAUAAAUUAAUUAUCAAAUUUUAAUCAUGAAGUUUGUUUUUUCUGUAGUAAUGUACUUGUAUGUUUAAUAGUGAUAAUUUGGUAUAUAUGUUUGAAUUUCUUUAUUUUUCUUUCAUUUUUCUGAAAGGGUGUUUAUUUUUAAUAAAUCCAGACACACAAUUCAAGAAAUAAUCAUUACAUUUUUCCUGUCAAAUGUGAGUCUCGAUAUAUAAUUUUAUGUACAAUAAUAAAUUAUGGUAUUAGGUCAGACUGGCUUCCUUUUCUUAAAUAUGUUGAUUAUUUAGAAUUAUUUACCAAUUAUUUCAUGUAUUGCUGCGCCCACUUCCCUCUACGAGUUAAUAGAUCACCCUUAGCCACUAGACCAAGGCAAAGAGAGGGUUUUCACAAAAGUGUGUCUUAUUUUAUAUUGGUUAAAGUGAAAAAACUAAUUAAUAAAAAUGUUAAAAACUUGAUCUCGUUGACUGAUAGAUCUCCGAGUAUAGUAUUUUUCUCCACGAACUUGAUGAUUUCUGUUUGUUGCAGGCCCAGUUUUUGUUAGAUGGGUCCUCUGGCUCUGGCAUGUGGAUUGUCCCUAUAACUUCAGGCUGUGGUGCAUAUGAUACAGAGAAAAAGUUGUUGUUGAAACUUAAACAUGAUAAGCUGGUCAUUGGUUCACAAUGUGGUGACCGAAAGAAGGGCGGAAACUUUUGGACUAAGUUGAAUAUAAAUGGAACCGGAUUUUACAGAGUUAAAUAUGACGAUGAGCUUGCAGCUGCACUUCAAAAUGCGUUGGAGACCAAGAAGCUCUCACUAAUGGAUAAAAUUGGUAAACGCAACAUGUGACCAUUGAAUCUGCUUGUAAUAUUUUGGUGGCAGGUAUUAUAACAUUACCAUUGCAGGCAUCCUGGAUGACUUAUAUGCGCUUUCUAUUGCCCGCCAACAAACAUUUGCGUCGUUGCUACAUUUACUCUACGGUUAUCGUGGGCAAGCUGAUUAUAGUGUUCUUUCACACAUAAACACUGUACGUAAAUCCUGUAGGUCCAGUUGAUUCUAUCGUGUUCAAUUGUUCCUGAAGAUAAAUCGCCUAUAUCUUUACUUUGGAUUGGCAGGUAACCACAAGUAUUGCUAAAAUAUCUGCUGAUGCUACUCCUGCCUUGGCUGGUGACAUCAAGCAACUUUUGAUCAAGAUUCUUUUGUCACCUGCAGAGUAUGCCCCACCAUAACUGCUAUGAGUUUCUUAAUGUGUUACACUCACAAUAUAUCAUCUCUUUUGUUUCACAAAAAGGAAAAGGAAACAUAAUAUGUCACUAAUCUUCUUCCUAACUUCUCAUGUUGCUUGAACAUUCCUUCUUUUGUGGCCGAUGCAUGACAAUUGCAUGAUUCUUUCACGUUAUUACUGUAUAUUUGCUACAUUUUCCUAUGUUUCUUCUUUUUGACUAUGUGACACUUAUCUUUCAGAAAGUUAGGCUGGGACCCCAAGAAGGGUGAGAGCCACCUGGAUGUAAUGCUUAGACCACUGCUGUUGACUGCACUUGUCCAACUUGGACAUGGUAAGACCAUUAAUGAAGGAGUUAGGCGCUUUAACAUCUUCACACGUGAUCGCGGCACUUCUCUUCUUCCUCCGGAUACUAGAAAGGUCCUGCCUUUUGCUAUCACUUCACGUGGUACCUAUGAUUACUUCUUCCAUUUGUAACUUGCGCUGUUCUGCAGGCCGCAUACCUCUCUGUGAUGCAGAAUGUUAGUAGUUCAAACAGAUCCGGUUAUGAUGCUCUCCGAAAAAUCUACAAGGAGUCAGCUGAAGGGGAGGAAAGAUUACAAGUCUUAGGUGUGUAGCCCUUUGACCAUCUUAAACUAACAAAGCUUGCCCAUGUUUUUGGUUGUUCUAAAAGCAUUUUCUUAUUGUUUCAAGGCAUAUUAUCUUCUUGCCGGGAUAAUAGUAUCGUCCUUGAAUCACUGAAUUUAAUUUUCACUAAUGAGGUAAAUGCAAAUAUCAUUACUUUCUUCCACAUUUAUAGUCGAAGGUUUCUAUGAGCUUACUUGUGUGUCAAGGGCAAGCUGUACUCAGGUCUCAUAUGCCUCUCUUGCUUGUCAGGUUCGCAAUCAAGAUGCAUAUAUUCUCCUUAGAGGUAUUCAACCAGAGGCACGUGAAAUUUCGUGGAACUGGUUGAAGGUACGAUCUCUUUUAACAAUGAGUACCCUUUUAUCUAUGUGUGUUGACGUGUUGUUGAUGCGUAAAAGUCGUUAUUUCUGGGUCCUGUCUGGAACAUCAGAUUCUUGUAGGCAUUCUAAACAAAUUUGAAUAUCCAUUCAUGAGAAUAUGCUUCUUUUUCUACCAACUUCAUUGAGAUUUCUGCAUUACAAAGAGGACCCAGGGUUCUUCUGUAUUUGUCAACAAGAACUCAAGUCAAGUGGCAUAUUUGCAAACAGCUGAACCAUAUUUGUGAAUUUAUUUCGGGAUCCCGAUUUCUUUAAAUGGAUUUCCCUUGUAAAUGUAUUUUAACUAGAGUGAAUUUGAGGCAGCACCCAACCAUCUAUUUUUUGUAGUUCCUUCAUAUGACACCUUAGGAGAUGACUGAUGGUUCAUACUUGGUGUUAGCAGACUGAAACAUUUGAAAACAUGGUGCUAACAUUUGUCCCAUUCUGUCUGUCUGCAGGAAAACUGGGAGCGCAUCUCAAAGAUAUUUGCCGGGAGCUUGGUUACGGAUUUUGUUAAAACCAUUGUUCCAUUGGUACAUUUAAUCACAGUUCUAUUGCCCUAUUUCCGUGAUCAUAUUCCCCAGUUUUGCAGGUAUUAUUUCCAUGAGGCCAUAGCUAAUGUGGACUUCCUUGUUUCUUGUCAGUUCACCUCCAACGAGAAGGCCGCAGAGAUCUCCAAGUUCUUUGCAACGCGCACAAAGCCUGGAUUCGAGAGGACGCUGAAGCAGAGCCUUGAAACCGUGCGGAUCAGCGCGAGAUGGGCCGAGGGCAUCAGGAGUGAGCCCGGGCUUGCACAGACGGUGCGCGAGCUCCUGGCCAAGCCCUGACGUGCUGCAGCUAGAGUGCUAGGUUACAGUUGUUGUUGGCAAUAAGAAUGCAUUUGUGCCUUAUCAUGUGUGGAAACUGUGGCUUGAGAUGGUAUUUGGUUGUACAUUUGUAGUGGUGGUGGUAGUGAGUCAGCUGAUUGCAGUUUGUAGCCAAAUCAUUUAUUGUUAUGAAUGCAUGUGGUGCAAACGGGUUGUAUGAAGAAUGAGAACAAGGAGGAACUAG